This 88265-nucleotide long non-coding RNA is filed under the name Cucumis sativus (cucumber). Its description in RNAcentral is "long non-coding RNA (CSAT_LNC002372)". The record is from RNAcentral. Lineage: Eukaryota; Viridiplantae; Streptophyta; Magnoliopsida; Cucurbitales; Cucurbitaceae.
UUUUUUUUUUUUUUGUCUUUGUCCAUCCAAGAAAAUUGUAAACCCAUCAAAAAUUGAAAACAAAUAUAUUAAUUUUUUCGAUGAUGACCAUUGCAAUUAAGAAAAUUCAUCCCUUGAUGGGUCUGUCCAUCAAGAAAACCUAACUAACUUGAAAGAUACUGCUAGACAACUAAUAUAUUAUUCUUGAUGUUUAUUGUCUAUUGAGAAAUAGUUUUCUCGACAUUUGUGAACCAUCAACAAAAUUGAGAAAACUUUGCCUAUCAAGGAAAUCAAGAAUCCACAUUUUUUCUUACGUUUUUUCGUAUUUCUUCGACAAAAUAAGGAGACUUUUCUUGACGUACAUACCCGUCAAGAUAAACAUUGUAUUAAGAAACAUACUUUUCUUGAUAUCCCUUUGCCAUGACCAUCAAACAAUCAAAAUUUGCGUGCAUCGAGAAAGACUAAAUUUGUAGUAGGUCCUCUCUUUUCAAAUUUACUAUUGAUGUCACGUGAAAGGUUAUGUAUAUUUUAUCUUCACCACACCUUGGUAUCAACCCAAACUAUUGACCUCAACUUUUGUAAGAAGGGAAAAGAAACUAAGGUAGCCAGCUUUUCAAUGUAUAAGCAUGUCCCAAUAAUCUUGAAAAACAUAUUCACCCUUUACAUUGGUCAAGUAAACUCCAUCCUGUCUUGCACUCCAAGAACAAGUUAAAUUGCCACAAAAAUUAUUCAAGAAAUUGUGAUUAGUUUUAAAAGAAUCAAAUUCCAAUAAUCCGUUCUCCCAUUCCAAUAUGCAACGAAAUUUAGUAGUUUCAAAAUCGUUAUCUUGGAACGACCAAUCUUGUAGCUCACCUGGAAAAAGUAUAUGCAACCCUAAAUCGUUAUCUUUCGAGAAGCAAUGACUGUCUAACAAGUACAUUUCCAAGUCGUUGUGAAUUUCGAUUUGAUAAUGGUGAAGUUGAAUGAUGGAUGAUUUUUGUGGUGCAAACGAGAAUCUGGCCAUCGACAUGUCGAAUAAGACAAUGAGGAAGAGAAAUAUCAAUAAGACGAGUAGAUGUGGUGCCAUUGUUGAUGUGUAGGAGAAGAAUCCUUGUAUGUCUAUUUAUAAGGUUAUUAUUUUUGUGCUUUUUUUUCACUUUGAAAUAGGAAGAGUUUAGUUGAUUAUUUUAGGAAAUUAGAGGCCUUUAUUUUGUUAUUUGUUUUAAUUUAUAUGUAGGUUGUUUUAAGUGUAUGAGAUCCAUUUAGUAAGAGAAGAAUAUUUGUUGGAGGUUUUGUUUUGUUAUGUGUGGAGCUUGGAGAGGAUAAAGAUGGUGAAUUAAUAAUGUGAAAGAAUGGUGGCCAUUACAUUAUAAAUAGUUUUCUUCCUAUUCAUUAGAAAUAAUUAAAUUAUAAAUAUAGUUUCUAAAAUUUUGAAGUUUGUCUAUUUGGUUAUUCAACUUUUAAAAUUACAAAUUUUGAUCUUAUACUCCAAUUUUUUUAAAAAACACAAGUGAAUGACUUGUUACAUUACACAUGCAAUACACAUAUAUCUAAUAAAUCAAUUAAUUUUUAAAAUUUUGAACUUUUCACGAAUUUAUUAGCCAAAAAAUUUAUAGUUCAAUGAUUUAUUAAAUACAAAAUUAAAGUUCAAAUGUCGUUUCUAUUAAACGCUUUUAUUUGUUUAUAAAUCAAAUUAUAAAUAUUAAAUUCAAAGUUUAGUACUCAAUUUGUAAUUUAAGGAUGAACAAACAACAUUUUCACAUGCAAGGUCAUCGUGCAAAUAUUAACCAACAUAGUUACAAAGUUAAAUUUCAAUACGAGCAUAUAGUUCAAAUACGUACAUUGCCUUUCCCUUUACAAAGUCGACCAAAAAAAUGCUACUUGAAUGUUUUUGGCAUGCAACCCUAAAUAAAGAAUUGCAAAAAGAUGGUGAUGAGACUUUGUCAUCUACCAAAGAAUUUCUAUUGAUGGAAAAUUUCUAAACUUCAAUUGUCAAAAACUUACUUAAAUAACCUAAAGCAAGGCUUAAAUAGCCUCCCAAUAAAAAACCAAAUGAUUUGAUGUGAUGUGGUUCAGUCUCUAGAAUUUGAUUCUCUGAUUCAAUUUCGAUUGAAUGCUUAUGCUUGAUUUGAGGAAGUGGAACACGUGAUGUUCUUGAAGUUUGAGUCUUGGAAGAAAGUUUAUAUUUUGAAAGAAGCUUCAAUCUUCAAGGACGAUUGACUUUAAGAGUUAGGGAGUCUUCUAGCUCUUGAGAGAAUUCUCACUAGAUAUUCUAGAGUAAAAAAUUUUCAACCCUUACAAAUGAUUGUCCACAAAUCCUAAGAUUACAUCUUGUUUCUUAAGUCCUACUGAUUCACUAUUGAACAAUUGGUUUUAGGUCCAACCUAUAAACCAAAUAUCUCUCAGGCUAGUGAGAGGGUAAGACUCCUUGUUCAAGACUUGGAUCUAAUCUUUAAGGGAACAACCUAUCUACUAACCCUAAAGCGGGUAAGAGUGAAUUUCAUCUUGCACACCCGAUGUCCAUAACCAUCAACCGGUCUCUACCCCUAAAGUGGUAGGGCUUAUUAGGCUAGCAAUGUUGAGCUAUCCUCACCUAUGCAGAUAUAAGUAUAAUUUCAUUUAAAGAGAAGUUCAUAGUUAGCUCAAGAUUAAGAUUAUGUUACCUAGGUCAUAAUAAUUGAAAUAGACAGUUUUAUAUAAUCAAUGUACGGUGUUAUAACUUAAAAAUGACUAUUUCAUGGUUUUAGUCUUAUGUAAACUCUUUACAUAGAAUGUCCCCACUUUCAUAUCUCUACAUGAACGAUUAGGGAUCACAUUAUUUGCAUUAACUACAAAGUGGGUUACAUCCAUAGUGUUCUUAGAAGAAGGCACCCAAACUUAUUCAUACACUAUAGACCGUUUGGGCUAUAUACUCGAACUUGAUCCACAUUUAUGUUUACAUAAACUUCAAGUCUACACUAGAUAGUCUCGGGAUCUUAGUUUAUUGAAUUUAAGAUUAUAGUAUUCUAUUUUCACUAUUAAGUCCUCAAUAACCACUUUAUUAUAUAGAAUAUAAUAUGAUUUUGUAAACUAUGAGUUUUAGGACAAAAAUUCCAACACAAUUAUCAACAUAAACCCAUAUAUAACACUUAGAGCUAGAAAGUCAAGAGUUUAACAUCAUUAGUGAAGAAAGAGAGGGAGAAGAGUACCCACCCUUGAUGAUUCCCUUUCUUCACGUUUUCCUAUCCCCAAUACUUCUUUAACCAUAAUGAACUUCUCAACGAACAAGGACACAACCAUAGAUGUAUGGGCUUUAGCACCUUGAUAGAGGAAGAAAGAUAGAGAAAAUUUCUUGAAAGAGUAUGAGUAGGGGUGUACAUAAUUCAGGUUGAGCUGGGAAUUGGAGGAAAAAUAUGGACCAACUAGAAGUAUAUGGGUUGGCAAAAAAUGAACCUUAUCGAUUUCAUGUGCAAGUGUCCACCCAACCCAAACAAUUCGGGUUGGGACAAUUGGGUUGGCGAGUUACUCUUUUUUUUUUUCUUUAAUUCAUAGGGAAUUUCAUAAUCUUAGUCGAUCAAUAUCUGUUCGACGUGAUGUUUUGGGUUAGAUACUAAGAUUAUCACUCAUGGCUAAAUUGAAUUCAGAAACCCAAUUUCAAGCCAAAACAAAAACUUAAAUCAAAGUAUUGCUUCAUGUGUUUUCCAGUAGAAAAAAAAUGGACAAAAUCACACGAAAGUGUAGUGUAAACAAAUCUGAUAAUCUACAAGUUCAAUGAAAUUCCCAAAUUGAAUAAACAACAUAAAAUAUGAUUGAAUACAAACAGUAACAAAUUCAAUCGAAGUUAAAGAAAAUUGCAUACGAAAUUUCAAUAGAAGAAAUUAUUUCAUUGAACGAAUUAAGUACCUUAUUAGAAGGUAUAACCGAAGCUAAGACCAAACAGAAGGCAGAUCCACAAAUUCUAAAUCCUAACAAGAUCUUCCACAAUUUCUCUUAAUCCCUCUUAAUGUUCUUAAUCAACAAACUCUCCAAUAACUUCCAUCUUCGCCUAACCUUACUCUCUAACAUCGUCAUUGAAAGGAUAAAAGCACUAUGACAGUGGAAGAAUUUAAAAAACCGUUACUCAAAUUAAUUUGGAAAUCUUAAAAUACUAGUACAUUGGCAAAAAUUUAGAACUAAAAUUCUAAACAAAAACUAAGCAUGCUUUUAAAUUAAAAGAUACGGAUAACUUACUUUCAAUGACGUUUUCUAUCAUCUGGGAUGAGAUUGGUUUGUGGGAACCAAUUGGGAUGAAAAAAGAUUUAGAGAUAUUUGAGAGAAACUCAUCUUUUUGCUUUCAUGAAUUUGAAUAAAUAUCUCUCCAAUAUCUUAUAGAUUUAUAUUAAUGUAAUUAAUUAAAUAUGAUUUAAUUAAUAUUUCAUUCCAAUCUUAUAUGAAUGAAUAUCUAUGCAAUAUCUUAUCAUUUUAAUUAAAUAAAACUAAACUAUUAUUAAUUCUCUAAUUAAUUAAUGGCUAAAUUAAAUAUCUUAUAUUAAAUUUGAAUCAUAUUCAAAUAUAAGUUUCUCAUAAUUAAUUUUAAUAUGAAUCAAAUUCACAUUAAAUUAAUAUUUGAACUCAUUCAAAUAUUUUAUCUCUCAUAAUUUAAUUUUGAAUCAUAUCCAAAAUUAAACUUAUAUAAUAAAGUUAGAUAAAGUUUAUAUUAUAAUGUAUCACUCUAUAUUAUACUAAUUCUCAAAGUAAAUAGAUCUUAUUACCCUUUACGAGCUAGGAAGGGAACCUAAUGGACCUAAAAUAAGCACAUGAAUAUCCUCUUUGUCACUAAAUCCACACAUUUAGCUAUUUCUUUUGCAACAUAUUUUGAUCCAAACACAUAAUCCUAUUAGAUUAUUCAAAUCACCAUUCCAAUUACAAGGUAACAUAUUAACAUCAAUAUAAAUAUAUAUAGAAUAUUACACUUAUGUGUGAUUACAUUUAUUUAAUGUGAGUUAUUCUUUUGGCUUUUGUUUAGAUUUUUCAUUAUUAUUACUAUUAUUAUUAAUAUAUAUAAACUUGCAACCAACUUAAUGAAUCAAAUGCAAAGGUUAGAUUUCAUUUCACAUGUCGACAUGUUCAAACAGUUCAAUAUGGACGGAAUGUGAUCUUUUGAUAUUUUAAUUUUACAUUUUUAUAGGCUAAUUUGGAUGUUUGUAUUAACCAUCAAUUAAUUAAUUUAAAAUAAUAAUGAUGUAAACUAUUUUGGUUACAUUUUUAAAUUAAUUAUUUAGGGAGAAGUAAAGUAAAGUUUUUAAAGGAUUUAUGGGCUGCCAAUUUGGAUAACCCAUAUGGUGAUUGAGCUUGAUGUUUACUUCCAACAACCAAUUCGACAAUUCAAACAUACCUUAAUUCAAGUUUUUUUUCUCUAUAUAUUCAAAUAAGAUCAAUACAUAGAAAACAAACCUUUUAUUUUUAUUUGUAAAAUAUGAUAUUUAACGUCAUAUCAAUACUUCAAAAGUACUCCAUGAUAAACAAAUCAACACCUAAACACAGACUUCUUAAAUGAACUUAUGAUAAAAUAAUCAAACUCUCGAAACAUAAGCUUCACGGAUGAUAACACCAAAAAUAUGAUAUCUAACCUCUCUUAAUUCGAGAUUCUUCUAGAACUUUAUGUUUCUAUUUGGUUAUUUUACAAGUUUGAACACAUUAAGGGUAGAGUCGGACUAUAAUAACAAAAUGGAACUAAAAUGGACAAGAACUGUGUCUAAUUCCAUCGAUCGAGGUCAAAGCAUCAAAUAACGUACAAUUUUGUCUCUACCAGCUUGCACCGUUGCACCGUUCAAAGGCAUAAUGCCUCCUUUGCCCGAAAGACACACAACACUGUGAUGCUUUGAAAACAAUUCGCACGAUCUUUUCGUCGAGCAUGUGAAUCAUCGUGACACUGUCCCUAGCAUCGUAGAUCCAUCUCGAUGUUAUAAUUAAAGCAAUGUUUUGCCACCUAGGUUGGAGAAAAUUCGUCCCAGCCAGCUCUUAACACGAUUCCUUAUAUUUUUCCACUAUUUUGGUUUGUUCAUGUAUCAAUUCAAUUCCUUGGUGUUCGUUAUGAAUAUUAUGGGCUAAAAUAUUGUAUUUUGGCUUGGGUGUUUAUGUCUCUUUCUCCAUUUCGAUCUAUGUUUUAGGUUUCGUAUUUAACUUUAUGUUGUAUUGUUGAUUUAGUUUUGUUUUCGAUAGAUUUUGAUUAUAGUAUCAGAUGUAUAGAAAUUUUAUGACCACUGCUUUGAUUAACUUAUGAUUUGUGAUUGAUUGUAUGUUAAUUACAAGAAGUGUGAAGUUAUGUUGGCUUGCAAAUCGAAUUAGAUGAGUAUUGAUCUAACUAACUUAGGAUUGAAUAGAUCAAAAUAUUUAGUUAGACGUUUAAAAGUUAAUUAGUUCAUUUAGUGUGCCCUAAAUCUUAAUGCAAUUAGGAUAAUUCGUUUACAUACGCAUGUUUUUCAUCUUGUUCGGUUGAACUAAUUAGUUAGAUUAGUUUUUCUGAUUAAGUUGGUUGAGUGUAAGAAAUAAAUCACGGUGGUUAGAAUUAUAUGAUCAACUACAUUGAACUGGAAGGAUUUGUCACAACCCAAACUACACUUUUUUUAAAAAAAUUGAUUCACAACCUUUACCUUUACCUUUUUGUUUUCUUGCAAUUUCAUUUAUUGCUAAUUCAUCACCAAACCCUCCUCCGAUUUCAUUGGUUACUCUCGAGAUGUGAGCUAUUUAUUUGAGAAACUAACACACUUCUUGUGUUCAAAUCGAUUUUACCACUAAGAUUGGUGCUUGUGUGGUAGAUUCAGUUUGGUAUUUGACUUGAGUUUAGGCAAUGAAAUUCGCCUAACCAUAUAUUAGACUUUAGAACUCAAAUUAAAAAAUACUUUGCAACCCCUCAAACAUACCCUUUCAACUCCAUAAACUAUAAUAACCAACUUUGCACUCAAAUAGUUGGCCCUUUAAAAUAUAAGUUAACUUGAAGUAGGAGAAAUUAAUCAAAUAGAAAAUGAACUCAAAACUCAAAUGGUAAAGGUAUAACAUUUUCAAGUUUAGAAACCAAAAUAUCAACUAAACCUGAAACUCAUAAAUAAAAGUAUAUUAAUUACUUUUGAAUGUCAGGACACCAAAAUCUACUGCAUAAACAAAUGUGUACAGUAUAGUUUCAUAAAUAUUUUCUGUACACAUGUAUAGAUCAUAUAUAAAUACCCAAAAUAGAACAACCUCAUAAUUGUAAGAGAAGUAAAAUAAUGAUAAUGAUGAGGACAACAACACAAUAAGAAUAAAAACAAUUAAACCAAUGAGAAUCUUCAUCUUCCUCAUUUGAAAAAGAUAAGAUGAGAUGUGUUCCUAUCUCCAUAGGUUUUUUGGGUGGCUACUCUAUUUUACAAAAUUAGCUACAACUCCUCAAACUAUCUUUCCUAUCUACUAUGCCCAAUGAGCUGUCUCUUAAAAGUAUAUACCAUUAUAUACUCAACUAUUACCAAUCGCUUCCUUUGAGCGGUGGAAACAAGUUACAACUUCACACAACUAACCAAAUGUCAUUCCAGUUAUUCAAUAUAUGAACUCUACCGCAAACAAAUAGAUUUCGUUCUAUAAGAAAAGCACCUUAUCUAGUAAAAAAAGAAAAAUCUUAUAUUGAGAAGGACAGAGAUCUUAAAAUUGAAUAUAUUUGUGAGGUGACAAAUGUAAGAAUCCAAGUUAUUUUCGAUAAAACAAUAAUAUACAAAGUUAAAAUAAAUAUAUAAUUCUUGUUUUUAUGAAAAAAAGAUUGUAUUAAGCUUUGACACACUCAUUAAGAAGGGUACAAGUAGAGAACAAUAACAAUAUGUGAAUUUCUCCAACAAAUUAGAUUGUUAGAAAUGUAUGAGAAUUAAUAAAAACCAGAGCAAGAAGAAUAAAGAUUUAAGGCCAAUUAAAAUCAAGAAAUCUAUCCACCGCCACACAAUUUGGUGAGAAAUAAUCGACAUCAUAUAUAUACAACACACUUUUCAUUAUGUCAAAUACAUAACUCCUCAAACCCUAUUCAAAUCUAUCUUCAAAUUUUGGAUGAGGUAGAAAAAGUUGCACAUGUAAGGUAGAAAAAACAAAAACAAACAUUCAAGCUCAAGUAAAAAUUCAUAUAACUUGACAUAGAAAAAGAAACAAAACAAAAAGGGUUUAAUGUUAGAAAACUUAAAUUAAUAAUAAGUUUUGGAAACACAUAGAUCCAAAUCUAUAGUUUGCAUGUGCACCAUGAAAAUAAUAUGAAUAUAAAAUUUAGAAAUAAUCGAAAUUGUCGUAAAUUUGACAAAAAUUUGACAAAAAUAAGUUUUAGAAUUAGACUUAUAGUCCAAACUUAUUGUCAGGGUAAAAAUGACAAAAAAUAAAUCAAUCCAUUAAAUAUCAAGAAAAAGUAAUAAUAUACUUAAUAACAUCUAAUACAUAACACUUUGUAUAUAUAUUUGAUAUACUUAUAAUAUACUAUUGAUAUACAUUUGAUAUCUUUCAUAAACUCGAGACACUUCAUACACUAACAAAUGUUAUAUCUAGAAAAAAAAAUAAGACAAAUGUGUUACCCACGUUGAAUGUUAGAUUUUUAAUUUGUCAUUGGCUGUAAUUUUUUCAUGGACGGAUCCAUGCACAUAGGGGCCACGGGCAUAUCAUAUGUCUCCCCAACUUAAUUAUUAGUUUUUGUAUAUUUAACAUAAAUUUUAAGUACUUAUUUAACAUAAUUAAAUAUAUACAAAAUCAAGUUAUUAAAAUAUCAAGGUGAGUAGAGGUAGAGGAGCACACCGUGAACGCAUUCGUCGUGGCUUCAAAUUCUUUCCCAUAAAUUUUUUAUUAACUUUAGAGUUAAAGCUAAGAUAAUAUCUUCUUCUUCCAUGGUCAACAUAUACAGUACAUAGCAUUUACAAGUAAGUUUCAAAUUUUUCUCAAACUUUUUAGUUUUCAUACAUUUAAAUUUAAAUUUAUGUAAUAAAUCUUAAUACUUUGCUUCUAAUUGAACCUUAAUUUUUUAGUUUUGAAAUGACCAAUAAAUAUAUUAUUUUAUUUAAAAAAUGUUUGGUACUAACAAACAAUAAAGAUGUUAAAUUUACUGUAUAUUUUUUAAAGUUCAAAAACUAUAUAUAGCACCGAUUGAAAUAUUAAUGGCCUAAAAUUUUGACCUUACAUAAAGUUAUGCUCUUAAAUCAAAUCAAAUAUGCAUAUCAUUAAAUGUUGCACGCAAUUUACUUGAAUUUAAUUACAAAAUUGAAAAAGAAAUAGUAAAAUUUAUUAUAGAUCACUCUAAAAAAAAUAGCAAAUUAUUAAAAUUAUUUACAAAAUAUAAUAAAAUUCAUCAAAUUAUUUCCAACUCAUUUCAAUAUCUUACUAGUCAUUCACAAUUUUCUAUUUACAUAAAAUCAAAUAGUAGAGCAAAGAGUAAUAUAUAUAGUUUAUCCUCUUUGAAUAUAUUUCUAUACAUUACACACCAUAUAUGGGUAGAAAAAAUGUAUAUAUCGGUGUAACAGUAAAAUAGGUCAUGUUCUUAAAAGUCGUAAACCUUUUUAGAAAAAACCACCCAAUUUCUCUCACAGUUUUGUUCUCUCUUUUUGCAAUAUAAUGGAUAUAUGGAUUUCAUUUUGUUGCUUCUGCACCAUCUAUUUUCAAUCUUUGAAAUACUCGCAAUUAUUUCCAUAUACAUCCAAAUUUUAUCCAUCUAAUUAUUAACACUUAUUAUUCUCCCUUUAAAAAAAUUAUUAACAUUUAUUUCAAAUGACUCAUCAGACUUCCUCCUAGACUGUUCUAUCAAAAUCAAAUAAUUGUAUAUAAAAUAUUAUAUAAAUAAAUAAAUGUAGUAGUUGUAUUUAUACGUAUCAAAAUAAAAUAAAAAAUUCUUGAUUCUUUCUCUUCACACAUUGUCGACAUAUAAUAUAUAUUGUUUAUUCAUUCAAUCCGGUCCCUCUGGAAAAAGUAGAGACAUUAGUUCAAGUCCUAUUUUUUUAAUUAUCACAUCCAUAUACUUCAAUUUUAUUUUACUUAUUUUGCUUUAAAUGUUCCAUUUUGUUUUCAUUACUAUAGAAAAACAACUAAAUAUUAUCGAUUUUAAAAAGUUAAAUAUUUAUCCAAUGGUUGAACUAAAUUGGAGACUAAUAUACGUUGCCCAUACCCCUCACCAAUAUAUCUUCGUGAAAUCUAUAUCCACCAACCAAAUAUAUUUUAAACGUAUAUAUAAUUUGACAUGUUAUGUCAUAUUUUAAAAACCAAUAAAAUUACUUUUUUUUUUCUUUGAAAUCUAUUCCAUAUUUAAGAUUUGAAUUUGAUUUCAACUUAGUAAUAAAAUAUUAAAGGAUAUAAUUUUAUUCCUAACAUUUAAAUUUUAUUUGAAAAUUGGAUCCCAAGAUGUUAAGAUUAUUGUCAAAUUUGAUUUCAACAUCUGCGCCACAUGCCACUUCAAUUUCCUACUUAAAUACAGCUUUCUCAUCCAUACUUAAAAUCUGGUAUGUUCAUUGAUUACUGCCUAAUUAAAUUUCAAUUUCUUGUGGGUCUUUACUUUCUUUUUUUAAACAUUUUUUCCCAUGGGUCACCAACCAUGUUUUAUGGAUUAUGAUCUAAAUUGAUGGUAAUGAACUCUAUAAGUCAUAGAACUCAACCUAUGCAAUUCUCCCCCUCUUCUCUUGCCAAAAGAAAACACUAACCACUAAUAUAAAGAGUCACUGAACUACUAAUUUACUUGUAGAAAUGUAUGGGAUACAUAUUAAUUAAUUGAUAUCUAAAACUCUAAAAUCUACCACCAAAACAGAAAUAGAUAAAAUAAAAUCUUUAGGAUAGUAACAAAAUACCGUCAAAUUUAGGGUAUUCAACUAAUAGAGUUGGUGUAUUUACUAAUAAAAAUUUCAAUUCUGUAUUCAACUAAUAGAGUUGGUGUAUUUACUAAUAAAAAUUUCAAUUCUAAGUAAAACUUCUAUGAAAAUGCAAAAGACAGUAUAUGUAUAUAUAAUUACCAAAAUCAGUAUUACAAUUAUUCUAAUUUAGUCGUUAAACUUUAAAAAAAGAAUACUCAUUUGGUAAUUCAUAUCAUCAUAUCAACCAAAUCUAGACGUUUAAAAUCUAAACUAGAGCCAACCAAUACUUAAGCACAUGUCAACGUUAUAUUAUUCAUCUAUAACCACAAUAAAGUUUUUAAAAAAAUAAGAAAAUAGACAUUUUGUGAAUUUAAAAAAAUCUAAAUAGAAUCUUCAAAAAUUUAGAAACGACUACUACAAUAGUAUUUAAACAUUUUAAAAAGUAUAUAUUUGAUUUCAAAUAUAUAUAUAUAAUAAAAUUCUAUAACCACAAUAAAGUUUUUAAAAAAACAAGAAAAUAGACAUUUUGUGAAUUUAAAAAAAUCUAAAUAGAAUCUUCAAAAAUUUAGAAACGACUACUACAAUAGUAUUUAAACAUUUUAAAAAGUAUAUAUUUGAUUUCAAAUAUAUAUAUAUAAUAAAAUUCUAUAACCACAAUAAAGUUUUUAAAAAACAAGAAAAUAGACAUUUUGUGAAUUUAAAAAAAUCUAAAUAGAAUCUUCAAAAAUUUAGAAUCGACUACUACAAUAGUAUUUAAACAUUUUAAAAAGUAUAUAUUUGAUUUCAAAUAUAUAUAUAUAAUAAAAUUCUAUAACCACAAUAAAGUUUUUAAAAAACAAGAAAAUAGACAUUUUGUGAAUUUAAAAAAAUCUAAUAGAAUCUUCAAAAAUUUAGAAUCGACCACUACAAUAGUAUUUAAACAUUUUAAAAAGUAUAUAUUUGAUUNNNNNNNNNNNNNNNNNNNNNNNNNNNNNNNNNNNNNNNNNNNNNNNNNNNNNNNNNNNNNNNNNNNNNNNNNNNNNNNNNNNNNNNNNNNNNNNNNNNNNNNNNNNNNNNNNNNNNNNNNNNNNNNNNNNNNNNNNNNNNNNNNNNNNNNNNNNNNNNNNNNNNNNNNNNNNNNNNNNNNNNNNNNNNNNNNNNNNNNNNNNNNNNNNNNNNNNNNNNNNNNNNNNNNNNNNNNNNNNNNNNNNNNNNNNNNNNNNNNNNNNNNNNNNNNNNNNNNNNNNNNNNNNNNNNNNNNNNNNNNNNNNNNNNNNNNNNNNNNNNNNNNNNNNNNNNNNNNNNNNNNNNNNNNNNNNNNNNNNNNNNNNNNNNNNNNNNNNNNNNNNNNNNNNNNNNNNNNNNNNNNNNNNNNNNNNNNNNNNNNNNNNNNNNNNNNNNNNNNNNNNNNNNNNNNNNNNNNNNNNNNNNNNNNNNNNNNNNNNNNNNNNNNNNNNNNNNNNNNNUUCCUCAAAGUUCCAUACCCCUUCCCUCUGUAGCUUCCUUUCUUUUAUCUCUUUCCUCUAACUCCCGGCCCUACCAAAGUGGUCCCCCUGGUAGGUUCUUGUUUCACCUGCAAAAGAUUCAACCCACACCCACACCCACACAAAUACACAGAAUAUUUCCAGCACACUCACAAACACAAUACAACGGAGAGAGGCUGAUAUAUGUGUGUAUAUAUAUUCAAUAUGGAAUCAUAAGCUUCAACCAAGUAAGAGGGUUGCUCUCUCCCCAAUGAACAACGUUCAUUCAAAAUACAUAAUAACCAAGAUAAUCAACCCUAGCAAAAAACGCCUAUAUAUAUAUUCCCUUUCUGCUGCUGCCACGUGUUGUUAGGACCACUGGUCAUCCUAACAACCAUGUUGUCUAGGUGGAAUUUUUAUUAUUUUUACCCCUCCUUUGGUAAACUUGGGUGAUUGGAGGCCUAGUGUAACGGACAUACUUGUCCAAGGUGUGUUUACCUAUGGCCGUAUGCUCCGAUUAGCCCCAAUUUAUCUUGUCUUUAUGUCUUGUAUGUAGUUUAGGUAGUUGCUUUAAAUUUCAAGUCGAUAUGCUUGGGUGUGACGUUUCGGCAUUUUCAUAUGCAAGCCUACCAGAGAUGAAAAUGUUAAAAAUGUACUAUAGGGGAGGCAUACCUGUUGAAUCCCCGCCCAAGCCUUGUCGUACACUUUGCAAUCUAUGCUUUCUUAUUGCAAUUGACAGUCUUCAAUGCUUGUUUUAACAAUGUUUUCAAUCAAUUUAAUCAUCUUUCACGUUUUCUAAAAAUAUUUUCCAAGAACGUGAGGGGAGGUUGAAGCAUGUGUUGAAGUUGUCUGCGAUUUGUGGAUUUUGAUCGGCUGACUUGUUCGUCGAGCUAGAACAAGUGCCGCACUAUCGUUCACAUCGUGUUUGAAGAAUUACGAUUGUGACACCUAGCACCCUCUCUAUUAUUUCCCACCAUCGUUACGUGUGAUAUUAAUUUUACCUUCAUCAUCACGUGUGUUAUUAUUUUUAUUUCUCCUACUAUAUUUAAAUAUCAACGGGGGCCUAACGGAUUAUGAAUUAGAUUUUAUUCUUUUAGAUUGGAGUCCCAUUUUUGUAGCUUACUGGGAUCCUUUUGCCGAAGUUCUUUAAUCCUCUAGUAAAUAUUUAACUUUCUUUAUUAAAAAAAGGAAGAAGAAGAAAGGAAUAACAAAAACUGACAAACUCCUUUAGAUUGAAGUAUUAACCUUUCCAUAUCUUUGCCGAACAAUCUUCACUCCCACUAACAAUGACUUCGGAAGCAUGUGAAUCCACUGAAUACACAAUGGUAGUGUCACCAACCAUCUCCAUCAAUGUUUCACCACUUAGUGCCCAUAACCUAAUGGAACUGUCUAAAUGGAAAAGAAAAUCAAAGUCAACUUUCUAAUUAAUUCAAUAUUCUAAUAUAAAGAAUAUAACAAAUAGUCCUCCCAUGUGAAAUGAAAAGUGGUUCUACAGAUUCAGAGAAGGCAAUAGAAAUCACUCAUUUUAAUGUCAUUUAAUAUUUCAUCAACAACCUAUAGAGUUUAUUAAUCUUUUUCUUUCCUACUAAAGAAGCUCUAAUUUAUUACUCUAGGAAUGGUCCUUUCUAACUUAUAUACAGGUAACAAAAAAUAAAUUGAAGAAAUACUCUGAGCUUUUCCAUUUAGAAAUCCCAAUGAGCAAAGACUAAAGUCUUCCCGGGAUUCUUAGGAUGCCAAACUCCUCUCAUUGGAUAGACAUCAAUAUAUCUUAGAUGAGAAGCUACCUUGAAUAGCCUUGCUUCCUCAGCAUAUAAACAUAAAUAUAUUUGUUGUAUUCAAUCAAAAAUAAAAGAUAAGCUUGUUCUGAAACCAAUUCCAAAAAUUUCUUCGAAAAUAUGCUGGGAGAGUUGUUGUUGUUUAAAUACUUGGUCCUUCGAAGGUUGGAAUUACAAUGUAACUUUUCACAUAUUCAUGAAAAGUUAUGAUUCUUAUUAUGAAAGAAUGAAACUUCGAACUAGUUCCUAAAGGUAGUACUUUUAGCUGAUGUGGCAAUUUGGAUCAGCCAUGUACGGUUGCAUUCCUCAAUGUGAGUGAUAAUCAAACCCAAACUACCUCAAAGGAAUUAUUUUGUACAGUAACUCCAUCUUUACCAACUGCGACAUAAAACUAUCUAGGGUUCAUGGGUUGGGGUAAGAAAACUUUUGGACCCAACCCACCAAGUCUUUUUAUCAUUAAGUUUUCUUCAUUUUUAUGUCAAUUGGCAUGUAUUUUAUAAGCUUUGAGAGAAGAAACUUAAUAUAAAUGUAUACUUGGUCAGAACCCCGUCAUUUAGCCUCAAUUUUCACAAUGUAGAGGUAUAGAAUUCAGAGAGGUUAUUUUAUUUUCUUAAAAUUACUCCCCAACUGUUAAUCUAUGAUUAACUUUUGCUAUAAAAAAUUAGUCCUUAUAUCCCUCUUCUAGAAAUUUGACAAACAUAUUAAUCAGGCGCCUUUUUCUGAAAAAUAAUUGUUCAUAUAUUUUUUUGAAACAGAGACAACCCUUUUUAUUAAAGAUGUAAGUAAAAGAGACUAAUGCUCAAACUAUAGGAGAAUUAUACUAAGAGCGAAAAGAAUGACCAAAACAAAAGUACAGACAAAUUGAACAAAACAAUCAAAAUCCUGAGAAAACAAUAGAAAACUGAGAACAAAGCGAACUUAAAACCUUUCAACAAGAAGCCCAAAAUCAGCUGAAAAUUGCAGACUAAAAACUUCAGACUAGAUGGAAGGAAACACCAAGGGAGAGCUAACAACAAUGCAGCUUUGUUGAAAAAAAUAUCCCUCCCAAGUCAUCCUUCGAUCUUGAGUGAGUGACUAGAACCAGAAUAUUUCAUAAGAACUUUAGAGGGCCAAAAUAAUAAAAGCAUUCGUCGAACCUCAUGUGAUCCACUAAAACAAACCUAAAAGAUAAUUGGCUGAAAAACCAAGAUCAAGUUAUUCUAUACUCAAACCAAAGUAGUUCCACAUCGCUCAACAAUUGACUUCAAGCGAUCUGGAACUUCACAUUGUCGAGCUUGUGAGGGAAAUAAAGAGACUUGUUUCUCAGUAAUUAAAUCCUCCCUUGUCUGAAAGCGGUAUUAAGAUCAGAUUCUAGAGGAUCCUUAAUCAACUGAUCAAUGUUUACAAUGAGUAGUGGAGGCACUUUUGAUUCAGAUUUUACCGAAGGAGCUCAAGGUAUCGUGCAAUGUGAUCGAUUUUCUUGGGACACAUAAAUAAAUCUAACGCCAAUUGAAACAUAAGGACUAGUAUUUGGAGCAUGAUAUUUCUUCCUAUCUCUACAUGUAAAGAUCACAAGAAAAAUAAGAAUUUCACAAAAUAACAGAAAACAAAAUUAGACAAAAUCAGGGCAUGGCCGAGGAUGAGAUUAGAGAUGAAGCGGUGAUUAGUAUUUAUUGAAAAUGGGAGAAAAGUAGAAUGUCAAACCAAUCCAAGAACAUACCUCACAAAUCUUCGGAGAGACGAUCGUGGUCAAAGCAGUGGUUGUGGUCGAGGAUGAGAUUAGGGAUGAAAGGAUGUUACGAAAGGUAUAUCAACAAGAAGAAGGGUAAAACAACAACAUCCUGUCAAAAAUCACUUAAUGUGAUUGAGAUCUUUUAGCAUGACUGCUUGAGAACUAAAGAAAAAUUUAGAAUGUGACUGAGAACUUUUAGCACAACCGGGCAGCAACUUCAAUAACAGAAAAACAUGCAUAAUGUAGGAAGACAGCAGAUUUAAAAUUAUGACAGUGUAUUUAUGAAUGUCAGGCGAUACAUUAAUGUUCCAAAAUUCAACCAAAGUAUGGGAUGAAAGAUAUACAAGAAUCUUCCAUGAUAAGGGCAAGACCAGGAUAUCCUUAUCCAAAAGAAAGAAAAAAAUAAUCAACCAAAGUAAAUUCCAUGUAUGAUUGGAAAUUAUGGCCAAGGCGAAGGAUGAAGCGGAGAAUAGAAGGAAUAUUGAGCAGGGUACGACUUACCAUUAGCUUAGAUCAAAACCAGCAUCCGCAUUUAUGGCAUAAAGAAAUUUGUUUGCCAGCUGCUCCUUGCUGCAUUGCUCACAAAUCAUAGAGUUGUGAAAAUGAAAACUUAUGCAAGUUUUUUUAUCCUUUUUAGAAAAGAUGUAUAUGUUUUAGUUCAUCCACAAAUCAACAGACUUAAUAAACUGAUGUAAUUCAAGUUGGACUUAGUUUUUCACAAUGAAUUCUCCACCAAUAGUGGCUAAGAGAUGGAGUAUAUAUUGAGGAUUGUAAGUAGUUACAAGUAGUUGAAAUAACUGUUUUUAUGAAACAGUUUUAAUUGCAGUCUUAACAGCUAAACAGUUUAAUUAUUUAAACUGUUUUACUAACUAACUACAGCUGUUUAGCCAUGGCAUUCUAUAUUACAUCAUUCCACCCCUAGCAUGGAACUCGACCCGAGUGACUUAGUUGACAAGGCAGAAAUCAUCUGGGGCAUAGUACUGUUUCAGGUCUGCCACGUUAAAAAUAGGAUGAAUGUGCAAGUCUGGUGGUAGUUCAAUUCUGUAAGCGUUAUCUCAAAUCUUUUCUAGGACACGAAAUGGUCCUAAUUGUCUGUCUUUCAGUUUGUGUUCCAGUUGGAAAUCGAAUUUUUCUGAGGUGAAUCAUUACUAAGUCUCCCUCAGUAAGGGUAGCUUGUCUUCUCUUUUUGUCUGCUGCCUUUUUGUAGGACUGAGUUGAUUCUUUUAGGUGGUUAUGGACUUCUUCGUGUAAAUUCUGAAUCUUUUCUACCAUCUUUUCUGCUUCUGAGCUAGUGUCAAUAGCUGUGGGGAGUGAUGCUAGGUCAAAGGUUGUUAGUCUUGGCUGUUUUGUGUAUACGACCUCAAAUGGACAUUUGCCGGUUGAUCUAUUCUUCAUAUUGUUGAAGGCGAAUUCUGACUGUGCAAGAGCUAAGUCCCACUGUUUUGGUUUGGAUCCACUAAGACAGCAUAUUAAGUUGUCGACAGUUCUAUUUGUAACUUCUGUUUGGCCAUCUGUUUGAGGGUGUGAUGUUGUGCUAUAUUUCAUUCAAGGUUGUGUCAAAUUUGCUCCAUAAUGUCUUCCAGAAAUGGCUUAGGAACUUGACAUCCCGAUUAGAAACAAUGGUCUUUGGUACUCCGUGCAGCCGAACUAUCUCUCGACAGAAUAAAUUAGCUAUGUAGGUGGCAUCAUUUGACUUCUUACAAGCCACAAAGUGUGCCAUUUUACUGAAUCUGUCGACUACAACCAUGACUCAGUCAUACUGCCUUUGAGUUUUUGGUAAUCAGAGCCCGAAAUCAAUUGAUAGAUCUUCUCAAAUGGAAAUUGGGGUAGGUAAUGGUGAGUACAGGCCGGCGUUUAUACUUGAACCUUUAGCUCUUUGGCAGAUAGGGCACCUUUUAAUAAAGUUGUUACAGUAUCUUCUUAAUUAAGGCCAGUAGUAUCUCUUAAAGAUUAUUUCAAAAGUUUUAUCCUGCCCGAAGUGUCCAGCCAAUCCUCCUGAAUGAGCCUCUUUUAGUAGUGCUUCUAGAAGUGAUGUGUGUGGGAUACACAACUGAUCUCCUUUGAAUAGAUAUCCUUCCAUUAUAUGGAAGUCUUCCGCCUUGGUGUAGUGGCUGCAUUUGGUCCAUGUCAUGGCGAAGUCAACGUCUUCCCCAUAUAGGUUAGGUAAGUGUUUGAAUGCCUCGAUCUCCAUGGAUAGAAUAGUGAGUAAGGAGCUCUUCCUGGAUAGUGCAUCUGCCACCUUGUUCUCCUUACCAUUUUGGUGCCUAAUGACAAAGUCGAACCUUUGUAGGAAGGAGAUCCAUCGUGCGUGCAUCCGAGUAAUAUUCUUUUGUGACUAGAGAUCUUUCAAAGAGAAGCGGUUCGUUAGGAGUACAAAUUCCCUGCAUAGGAGGUAAUGUUCCUACUGUUUGAGUGCUCGGACAAGGGCAUAAAGCUCUUGUUCAUAAGUGCUCCAGGACUGUCUUGUUGUGCUCAACUUCUUACUGAAGUAUUCAAUAGGGUGGCCUUGCUGUGAUAACUCGGCUCCAAUUCCGGUUCCGUAAGCAUCAACAGCUACUUCAAAGGGUGAUGCGAAGUUCGACAACUGUAGAAUAGGGCUGGAAGUUAGUCUUCUUUUUAUCUCUUCAAAGCUCUGCUGUUGCUCUUCGUUCCACUUAUAGUUCCCUUUCUUUAGGCAGUCGGUUAAGGGGGUCACUAUUGAGCUGAAGUUUCUGAUGAAUCUUCUGUAAAAGGAUGCCAAGCCAAGGAAGGCUUGUACCUCCUUGAUGGAGGUUGGUAUUGGCCAAGACUUUAUGGCUUCUGUCUUCUUUGGUUCCAUACCUACUUUUCCUUCUUUGAUUACGAAGCCGAGAAAGACAAUUUCCUUGGUGAGGAAUGUACGUUUCUUUGGAUUAAUGUACAGUUCAGUUUCGGCCAGGACUUGGAACAAUUUUCUUAAGUGCUGAAUGUGGUCCUUCAGUACUAUUGUUGUACAAGAGGAUGUCAUCAAAGUAAACCACUAUGAACUGGUUUAGAAACGAGCACUGGUUCAUCAACCUCAUGAAGGUGCUCGGUGCAUUGGAUAAGCCAAAGGCCAUCACCAACCAUUCAAAUAACCCUUCAUUAGUUUUGAAGGUUGUCUUCCACUCGUCUCCGGGCCUGAUUCUUAUUUGGUGAUAACCGCUUCUUAAGUCAACUUUUGAGAAGAUGGUAGCUUUACCUAGUUGAUCUAGUAAGUCUCCAAUUCGAGUAAUAGGAAAUCGGUAUUUUACAGUGAUUCGGUUGAUAGCCCUGCUGUCUACACACAUACUUCAACUUCCGGCCUUAGGUGUGUGAGCAGUGUUGGCACAACACAAGGGCUUAGGCUAGGCUUCAUGUGACCCUUUUUCAACAAGUCUUCAAUGUGGUCAUGUAAAUUAGGUAGCGAGGCUCCUGGGGUAAGAUCAAUUUGGUGUUGGAUGUCACGAAUUGGUGGCAAUCCUUGCAAGUCCUUCUUUAGGUGAGGAAAUCUGCAAACAAGUUCUCUAAUCUAGUCUCACCUUCUUUCUCCAGGGGUUUGUCAGCCACUACAAGUCCCAAAAGGUCUUGCUCCCUUUCUCUCAAGAUCUUCUUCCCGCUCACUGUGAUGAAGAGUUGUCCUUUUUUCUUCUGCUUCAGGCCUUCAGAGUUUUUCUUUGUUAAUGGGAGUUGAAUUACUUUCCUUCCCAUCCACUGGAACUCAUAGGUGUUUUCCCUCCCCCUGUGUUUGGUUCAGGUGUCAUGUUGCCACGGUCGGCCUAGGAGUAGAUGGCACACGUCCAUGUCUAAAACGUCGCACACAAUCUGGUCUUUGUAGCUACUUUCGAUGGAUAGGGGCACGGUGCAAAUUUCAUUGAUUGAUUGUGGUCUCUCCUCCUUUCUUCACCCAUCCUAUUUUGUAAGGAUCAGGGUGAGGGUCUGUUUUUAGGCAGAGAAUGGUCACAAUCUUUAUUGCUAAAAAGUUCUCACUGCUUCCACUAUCACUUAUAAUGUCCUCUAUAGCCAUGAGCCAUGAUUGUAUGGGUGGUUUGCCGAAUCUCUGUCUAUUUAUCUCCAAUUGGUCCCACCAUGUUAAGGCUCCUCCUCCCAAUUUUAGAGCCACAAGUUCUCGGUGUUUUUUAUCCAAUCCAAGAAAGAUUCUAUAUCCCGUUUACCAUUAUAGGUUGGGAGGUCAAUUUUCAUUUUGUAGUCGUGAUGAAUCUCUCGUCAUGCUUUAUGUCCUCUAUAGCCGUGAGCCAUGAUUGUAUGGGUGGUUUGCCCUAUCUCUGUCUAUUCAUCUCCACUUGGUCCCACCAUGCCGAGGCUCCUCUUCUCAAUUUUAGAGCCACAAGUUCUCGGUGUUUUUUAUUCAAUCCAAGAAAGAUUCGAUAUCCCGUUUACCAUUAUAGGUUGGGAGGUUAAUUUUCAUUUUGUAGUGGUGAUGAAUCUCUCGUCAUGCUUUAUGUCCUCUAUAGCCGUGAGCCAUGAUUGUAUGAGUGGUUUGUCGAAUCUAUGUCUAUUUAUCUUCAAUUGGUCCCACCAUGCCGAGGAUCCUCCUCUCAAUUUCAGAGCCAUAAGUUCUCGGUGUUUUUUAUCCAAUCCAAGAAAGAUUUGAUAUCCCGUUUACCAUUAUAGGCUGGGAGGUCAAUUUUCAUUUUGUAGUCGUGAUGAAUCUCUCGUCAUGCUUUAUGUCCUCUAUAGCCAUAAGCCAUUCGAUAUUCUCCGUUGUCGUUCCAAAUAUUUCCUUGGUCGUCGCCACUGGAAGAAUCAUAAUCUUGCACGUUUUGCCACUCCUCGUCGUCAUCUUGCUCAUCAUCGUCGGCGUGUCGUAGUGGGAUUCCUCCCGGUCUCCUUCUUUGAUCAUUUCUUUGGUUGGGCCAGUUUCUAAGGUUCCUUUGAGCCCGUCAGCCACCUCUGUUUCCUGCCUUCCAGUCAUAAUCCUCGUUCCUUGCCGGUGCCGGUAGUUCAUCCAUUCUUCGAGUGAGUGAGUCUAAGUUGUCCAUUACUUUGUUCAUUUUGUCAUGUAAAUCUCCCAAGGAGUCUUCGACGGCCAGCAAGCGUACAGUGGUGGUCCUUGGAGAGAGGGUGGCGGUCUCUUCCACCUCUUCCUGCUCGCGGUUGUCCCCUGCGGCGGGGAUUCUUCUCCGGCCAGCCAUCCGUCUGAGGAUCGGGGCUGCUCUGAUACCACUUGAUGUAAUUCAAGUUGGACUUAGUUUUUCACAACUGCCAAUAAUGGCUAAGAGAUGGAGUAUUUAUUGAGGAUUGUAAGUAGUUACAAGUAGAUGAAAUAACUGUUUUUAUGAAACAGUCUUAACUGCAGUCCUAACAGCUGAACAGUUUAAUUGUUUAAAACUGUUUUACUAACUAACUACAGUUGUUUAGCCAUGACAUUCUAUAUUACAUCAUAAACCUAACCAAGUUAUUCAACCAAAUUGGUGUUAGUUUCACGUAAUCACGAAAAAUAAAAAUUUCUUGGUGGACUGGAUGUUGUAUGGCCAAGUAAAAAAGAAAACCCAGCCAUAAUGGACGAGCCGUGAAGGUGAAAAACAUAGGAUAUGUUUGAGAAUGAUUUUUUAGAGUUAAAAUCACUCCGUAUAUGUUAGAAGCCACUCUGGCAUGCCCUUAACUAUUGAGAAUCUUAAUCAAUUUAAUGUUUGAUUUAAUACUUAAACCCGAUUUUCAUAGCACCAAAUUUGAUUUUCAAUGACUAAAAUGUGUUCCUCAGAGUAAUUUUGGACAUGACAUGUGAUUUUUAUCAUUUUAAAAUGUUGCUAUAUACUUAAUUAUUUUGAAUCUAAUUGUUACAUUUGCAAUUAUCCCAUUUUUUUUAUGUUCCACGCUAAUCUAUAUAUGCCUGAAUACAGUUUCAAGCAUGUAGCCAGGAAUGUCUCGCAAAGUACUGAGUUACUUUUUCACAUGAUUUUUGCUAGCAGGAUAAAUUAGUUUAAGCUCUAGAAGGAACCAACUUAUCCCCUUAAGGGAAACCAAAACAAAUAAUUAAGAAUAACGAGGAUACGAAUUUUACCCAGGAAAUGGAGAAAAAUGAACAAAACACCAAUUUCCUUUGUAUGCAAAAACAUGGCUCAAGAUAUUUAAGGCCAAGAAGAGGUCCUCGAGAGCAACCAGUUACAAACCUAAUGAAAAAGCAAGAUCCAAUUGUUAUAUUUCUGAAGUUCAGUUUUUCUCUAAGCCAACUUGAGACAAGAAGUAAUGACCAACUGAUGUGUAAUGAAAAUACUCACUUCAGAAAUUUCUUUUGGUUUUCCACGGAGAAACUUUUGAUAACUUCCCAAAACAUCUCAAUGACAUAAUGCUCCUGAAAGCAUGAAAUAAAAAUUCAAAUUUCGAUGUUCCCACAUUUCAAAAGCAUAAAAGAACAUGAUUAAAAAAGUGAAGAUGUUUCUCAGUUUCCUAUCACAAAUUUCUUGAUCAUGGUUGUGCCUGACCAAACAGGGCAUUACAAACAAUACAAGUCCAAAGUUUGUUUUCAUAGUCAUAGAAACAUAAGAGAGGACUAGAAGUCUGAAUAAUGGUAAUCAAUUUAUCCCCCAGUUUCAAACACAAAUACAGGCAUACACAUUGUAAGAAUUCGAAAUUAAUUGAAAAAUAUUAAAAAGAAUCUAAACGAUGACCAACUCCCUAAGCUCCAAAGACUUCAAAACCAUCUCCCAAUUACCCGGGUGAGAUCCUCCAACAUCAUCUACAAUUAUGAAAUUUAAUUGACUUGACAUCACAAUUCCGAUUGCACUACAAUAAAUCUAGUAUUCGAUAUCCUAAACCAAGAAUUGUUCAACCUCCAAAGGAAGAUUAAUUGUAACUAAUCUUCUUGCAAGAUUUCAAAUUUUCAAAAUUUUAUCGAACACAAUAUGCAAAAAAAUUAUGCAGAAAAGAAAAGAAAAGAAAAGAAAAUACAUAUGUAGAAAAAAGGGUUUAAUAGAACUUACCCUAUGAACCUGAUAUUAAAAGCUGAAAUGAAAUAGACCAGUCAAAGACAGCAACUCGAUUUAUCUUGGAACCACAAAAGACUAGCAACAAAACCUCCAUCAGUAUUUAGCCAUUGGUCCAUGAUUUGACCUAAAUUAGGGUUCUCUUUAUGUUUUUCUUAUCAUUUCCCAUCGCAAGGGAAUUUUUUUUCCCACAUCUUUUCCCCUUACAAGGACUUCAGUUGUCACCACUUAGAGUCCAUGUAAGGCUAAAAACAAUCUAGUUCACUUCGUUUAUUUCUCAGAUUUUAAUGAUUAGUAAAAUUCUGCCUCUACACUUUUACGAGCAUUAUGCCUCUUCGAAAAUGAACAACUUGAAUCUUAAGGAAGACUAGUUUCCUUAUCCUGAACCUGAAUCUUCACAUCAUCAAGGAAACCCACAUCUAUUCCUUCAGGUGAACUCAAUAAGGAAGACCCUUAUUCCUCUAGGGUUUAGGCUUUGGUUAGUUGCUGCCCAGAUCACAAGAUCAAGUGUACUCCUAAUCAUUCUAGGUUCUUGCUUUAAUUAGUUUAGUGUUUCACGUCACAUGAAAAUUAAAGGUCGACAAUGGCACAUUAUCAAAACUACUAACCUCCUCCCCCCUCCCCCUCCCCCACCCACACACCCACACACCCACACAAAAAGAAGAAUAAAAAUGCAAAUCUAAGUGCUUAACCCUACUGACUUCGUAUGGUCUAGGAGAAAAAAUGUUCCUCCUUUAACAUACUUCUUUCCCAAAUAGUAUAAUUAAUACUAGCAUGAAAUAGGAUUCAAGGCACAUGAGGCAGUUGAUGUGCAAUGAUAAACGAGUCAUCAAGAGAUUAUAUAACAGCAAACCAGCCUUUUCAUGCAAACCACGUUACUAUCUCAGUGAGCCAGUGAUACCUGGAAUUCAAGCUCAUUGAACAUGUCGAUCCAUUCUUUCUGUAUAAGCUGCUGAAACCCUCUCAAAAAAUGAGAACUUUGCUGUCGUAUCUGAGGAGGACAUGUUUUCAAUCAACAUUGGAGUAGGGAGACACAUUGGAUAAACAAGGGACAAACUAUGCUGAAAGUUCAAACGAUGAUUGGCAACAAGAUGAAUGAAUGUGAUGACAUUUUCACAGGUGACACGACGGUUUCUUCCUCCAGGAAGUAGCUCUUCUUCAGUUUGCUUUCCAUAUUCAUUGUUUAUAAUAACAAAAUAUAGCCCUAGUUCAGAAAUGUCACCUUCAUAAUGCUGUCCAGAAAAAUCAGAAGGGAAGACCCAAAAUUUAAGAUAAGGAGUGAGAAAAAGAUUCUAUGAGGAUACUAGAUUGAUCUAGAUCAUCGAUCAACAGGCUAAGUGUGGUAUCAGCUAAAAGUGAUACCAGGGAAUACACACCUUUAAGAAAAUAAGGUGGCGAUACAAUUCAGGAUCCAAGCAUGGCAAGUCAUUUAGAUAGUUCUACCUGUUGUGAUGAUAAACAUUGGAAAUAUUCAAUGUUGGGUUAAAUAUUAUUCCAUCUUUAUACCAUGCAACCAUGCAAUAUUAAACUCUCAUAAAUUAUAUAGAAAGCUGAUAGACCUCCCAUAGUAAAGGUGCAUUCCCGUAGAGACAAGAAUAGAAAGAAGAAAGAAUGAUUGAGUGUUAGUUGGUAUUUUUCCAUUUGUGUGGGCCCUUAGGAAUGUGUUUGUUAGAGUGGGGCCAAGUAUUUUAUUAUUUCUCUGAGCAAUUACUUAAGUGUCUUGAGUGGGAGGGUAUGAGUAUCUUUUUGGACAUAUGAUUUUGGUCUAGACUCUCAUUAGAGUCUGGAGAGACUUGGGAGCUCUCAAAUCCUUUCCCACAGUUGAUAAAUAAAAUUUUGGCUAAAGCCUUAACAGUUUUGGUAUCAGAGCCAACGUUCCUGGUAUGGUUGGUAAAAAUUGAGCGAGGAUAUGAAAUUGUUAAUACACGGGAUGGGAGUGACGGGAAGUGCCUCAAAAGGAUCCACAUCUAGUGAAAGAACGAUUACAGACAAGGGAAAGGGAAUAAUGAAUGAGGAACAAGUUCAGGAAGAAAAAAGUGAACAAAAAACUAACCCGGUGGUGGAUGAGGGAGUUGGAGUACCAUGUGCACCAAAUAUUUGUGAGAUACCCCUUUUUGACACGAAGCUACGAAAAUUGGAGGUGCCGAUAUUUAAAGGGGAGGAAGAAGAGAACGUGGAUGGAUAGCUACAUCAUGUGGAGUGCUAUUUUGUGGUGAAUAUCUGACGAAGAGAGAUAAGUUGGAUGCGGCGGUCCUGUGCUUGGAGGGGGAAGCUUUGGACUGGUAUCAAUGGAAGGAGGAUAGAAAGAAAAUCUGCAGCUGGACAGAAUUCUGACAGCUUCUGUGGACGAGAUUCAAAGCGUCCGACCAGGGAGAUAAACACGCAAGGUUGAUGAAAUUACAGCAGGAGACCACCGUGAGGGAUUACCGGCGGCGAUUUGAACAAUUUUCGGCCGGCCUUAAAGAUAUGAGUAAUGCAGCCCUAGAAAGUAAGUUUGUGUGUGGGCUGAAGGAAGAGAUCCAAAGUGAGAUCUGAAAAUUGAAUCCAGUGGGCCUACAGGCUAAAAUGUUAAUGGCCCAAAUAAUUGAGAAGAUGAUCAAGUGGUUCAAUUGAAGAGAAUUCAUGGGGCAAGUGGAAACCCUAAUUUAUCACUUAAAAUGUCGAAUAGUGGGCCAAGCGGGUCGGGAAGUCAAACUGGGUCAAAGGCCUCAAAUCGGGUCGCUACAUCACGAACGAUUACGAUUAACCCUAGCCAAAAUUCAUCGUAUUCAUCCACGACGAUUACUUCAUCGCAGGAAUCGGGCGCGAAGAGUACGAUGUCUCAACCAUACCGCCGAAUGACUGACAACGAAGUGCGGAUUAAGAAGGAAAAAUAUUUGUGUUUUAGAUGUGACGAGAAGUUCAGUCCGGGGCACCGCUGCAAAAGACGUGAAUUGAACAACAUUGUUGUUCAAGAAGGGGAAGACUUAAGUGACAGAACCGAUCAAGUGGGGGAAGAAAUCGAAACCAACGGGAAAUAGUGAAUCUGUCGAUAAAUUCAUUGGUAGGUUUCAAUUCGCCGAAAACCAUAAAAAUUAAAGGAGAAAUAAGGGGACGUGAGGUUGUGGUGCUGGUCGAUGGGGGAGCCACACACAAUUUAAUUGCAGAAGAGAUAGUCAAAGAGCUAAAAAUUUCAGUAGAAACCAUGGAUGCAUAUGGGGUUGUUCUGGGAACCGGAGGCGUAGUCCAAGCAACCGGUGUGUGUAAGGAUGUAAACCUGACAAUCGCCAAUUUAUCAAUCACUCACGAUUUUCUCCCUCUACCACUCGGGAGUGUCAACAUUAUAUUAGGAGUUACUUGGUUGGAAAUGUUAGGGAAAGUAAUUUUUUAUUACAAGUUGUCGGAGAUGGAAUUCUCACUGGGUGAAUGGGUGGUAAUUCUUCAAGGGGAUAGAAGUUUAGUAAUAUCCCAAGUGUCACUUAAAUCGAUGAUGAAAACCUUUGAGAAGGAAGAUCAAGGUGUGUCAAUCGAAUUAAGUGCAGUUGAACAGUGGGGAGCAAGGGAACACAUAGCAGACUACUUGAGUAAACUACAACCAAAUUUCAAAAAGUUCUUCAGUCCUUUAGCGUUGUGUUUGAACCAAGCAAUCAAUUACCCCCACCUCACGAUCAUGAUCAUGCUAUUGAAUUAAAACUAGGGGCUCGUGCAGUGAACGUGCGCCCGUAUCAUUAUCCCCAAUUUCAGAAAGAUGAGAUAGAGAAACUAGUUAAGGAAAUGCUGCUAGCCGGAAUAAUUCAGCCAAGCAAAAGUUCCUUUUCAAGCCUGUGCUCCUUGUUAAGAAAAAAGAUGGUAGCCGGCGAUUUUGUUGAUUACCUAGCACUGAAUCUUGCCACUAUACCAGAUAAGUAUCUGAUUCCUGUUGUUGAUGAACUGUUAGACUUAUUAUUUGGGGCAACCAUAUUCUCCAAAAUUGAUUUAAAGUCAGGUUAUCAUCAAAUUCGGGUGCGGGCGGCCGAUGUUCACAAAACAGCGUUUCGAACCCACGAGGGGCACUAUGAAUUCCUUGUGAUGCCGUUUGGGUUGAAGAACGCUCUGGCAACAUUCCAAUCAGUCAUGAGUGAUGUUCUUUCCCCAUAUUUACGCAAGUUUGUUUUGGUUUUCUUUGAUGACAUCUUAAUUUACAGCAAGUCCUUGGACGAGCAUUUGCACCAAUUGGCAAUGGUUUUGGAAACUCUAGUAGCUCAUCAACUGGUAGCCAACUUUGAAAAAUGCCAAUUUGCGGUUGACAAAAUUGAAUACUUGGGCCAUGUUAUUUCUUCAGAGGGGGUGGCAGCGGAUCCAACAAAAAUAGAAGCGAUGGUUAAAUGGCCAGCACCCAAGAACGUGAAGGAGCUAGGUGGGUUUUUGGGGCUAACGGGGUAUUAUCGGAAAUUUGUUGCAAACUACGGUUCUAUUGCGCUGCCCUUGACACAACUGUUAAAAAAAGGUAACUUUAAGUGGAAUGAGACGGCCGAGAACGCAUUUCAGCAGUUAAAAGUCAGCAAUGAUGUCUGUCCCAGUGCUAGGUAUUCCUGAUUUUUCACAAAGUUUUAUGCUGGAAACUGAUGCUUCGUGAUGUAAACUAUAGCUAGUUAGUUAGUAAAAAUCCCUAACUAAUUAGAAAUACAGCUGUAACUAACUUCCUAAAACAGUCUUGUAACUAACUAAAUAAAACAACCUUGUAACUAACUUGUAACUAACCUUGAGAUAUCAAUAUAUAACAGUCUCCUAGCCUGAAAUAUGGCAGAGAAUUCUUUUGAAAAAUCAAUCCAACUUUGAAUUACAUCAAAUUGGUAUCAGAGCAGCCCCGAUUCUUGGACGGAAUGGCUGGCCGAAGAGUUAACAACCCUGCCACGGGGGAAAACCGUGUGCAAGAAGCGGCGGAGGAAAUCACCGUCCUCUCUCCAAAGACAUCAACAGUUCGCUUGCUGGCUGUUGAAGAAUCUUUGGGAGAUCUCCACAACAAAUUUGAUAGGUUGAUGGAAAGUGUCGAACUGUUAAACCGAAGAGGAGAAUUCCCACAGCCACCACCACGGAAUGAAAUUAACUUCCAAAACGACCAACGUUUUGGUGAAACAAGAGGCCGGCGAGCAAGGGGAUACGUUAGAAACAUGAACAAUCCACGAGGACUUCAAAGAAGGAGACCCGGUUACGCUAUACAGCAACAGCUUGACGAAGACUUUCAAGAAGAUCAAGAAGCUUGGCAAGAAACCCAAGAAGAUGAUUCUUCAAGCGGGGAUGAACAAGGAAACAUGUGGAACUUCAAUGAUGAAGCACGAGCAGGAAGAAAUAACCAAAGAAUUGAGGCCAGAAGAGGAGAAUACCACGAUUAUAAGAUGAAGAUUGACCUUCCCAUGUAUGAUGGCAAACGAAACAUAGAAGCAUUCUUGGACUGGAUAAAGAGUACUGAAAACUUCUUCAACUACAUGGAUACGCCUGAACGCAAGAAAGUCCACCUAGUAGCCUUAAAAUUAAGGGCUGGUGCAUCAGCUUGGUGGGAUCAGUUAGAAAUCAAUAGACAAAGAUGCGGGAAACAACCGGUUCGCUCAUGGGAAAAGAUGAAAAAAUUAUUGAAGGCAAGAUUCUUACCACCAAACUACGAACAAACUUUAUACAAUCAGUACCAAAACUGCCGCCAAGGUGUCCGGACAGUAGCUGAGUACAUUGAAGAAUUCCACCGCCUGAGUGCAAGAACAAACCUAAGCGAAAAUGAACAGCACCAGGUUGCAAGAUUUGUGGGAGGCCUUCGAUUCGACAUCAAGGAAAAGGUCAGACUACAACCAUUUCGUUUCCUGUCUGAAGCAAUAUCAUUUGCAGAAACGGUAGAGGAGAUGAUUGCAAUUCGAUCCAAGAAUCUAAAUAGAAGAUCAGCAUGGGAAACAAAUUCGACAAAAAGCAAAACAAACGACCAACCUUCAACCUCAACAAAAGCAAAAGGGAAAGAGAUUGAUAAUCAAGAAGUAGCCGUUGAAAGAAAGAAAGAACAGACGUUCAAGCCUAGUGGUCAGAACAGCUACUCCCGCUCGUCAUUAGGAAAAUGCUUCCGAUGUGGCCAAACUGGCCACCUGUCCAACAACUGUCCGCAAAGAAAAACCAUUGCAAUAGCCGAAGAAGGAGGACAGAUAAGUGAAGACAGUAUAGAAGCAGAGGAAGAAACUGAACUGAUUGAAGCAGAUGAUGGGGAAAGGGUCUCUUGUGUUAUCCAACGGUUACUAAUUACGCCCAAGGAAGAAAAGAACCUGCAACGCCACUGUCUUUUCAAGACAAGAUGCACCAUAAACGGAAGAGUAUGUGACGUAAUCAUAGACAGCGGCAGCAGUGAAAACUUCGUAGCAAAGAAAUUAGUAACAGUCUUGAAUCUAAAGGCUGAAGCACAUCCAAACCCUUACAAGAUAGGUUGGGUGAGAAAAGGAGGAGAAGCCACGGUCAGCGAAAUCUGUACAGUCCCUCUCUCCAUUGGAAACGCCUACAAAGACCAAAUUGUUUGUGAUGUCAUUGAGAUGGAUGUAUGCCAUCUCCUACUAGGAAGACCUUGGCAGUAUGAUACUCAAUCAUUACACAAAGGGAGGGAAAAUACAUAUGAGUUUCAAUGGAUGGGAAGAAAGGUAGUCUUACUCCCUAUAACGAAAAAGAUUAACGAAGGGUUAAGAGGUGAGAAACAGUUAUUCAUCACUGUUAGUGGGAAAAACAUGCUUAAAGAAAGGGAACAAGACAUCCUAGGACUGGUUGUUAUUGAAAAAACCAAAGAAAAACAGGUUGAAGACAUAGAACCCAAAUUACAGCAGCUCCUUCAUGAGUUCCCUCAUAUAAAGGAAGAACCGAAGGGACUCCCACCCCUUCGAGAUAUACAGCACCACAUAGACUUGAUUCCGGGAGCAUCACUACCAAAUUUGGCUCACUAUAGGAUGAGCCCCCAGGAGUACAAAAUACUUCAUGAUCAUAUUGAGGAAUUACUAAAGAAAGGGCACAUCAAACCUAGCCUCAGCCCGUGUGCAGUACCAGCACUUCUCACGCCAAAGAAAGAUGGAAGCUGGAGAAUGUGCGUUGACAGCAGAGCCAUCAACCGCAUCACGGUAAAGUAUAGAUUUCCCAUUCCAAGGAUUAGUGACCUGCUAGAUCAACUCGGAAAAGCCAGUAUCUUUUCGAAAAUUGACUUGAAAAGUGGCUAUCAUCAAAUACGGGUAAGACCUGGCGACGAAUGGAAGACAGCCUUCAAGACAAACGAAGGAUUAUUUGAAUGGAUGGUCAUGCCAUUCGGCCUUUCUAACGCACCCAGCACCUUCAUGAGAUUGAUGAACCAGGUACUUCACCCAUUUCUCAACAAAUUCAUAGUAGUUUACUUCGAUGACAUACUUGUUUACAGCACAAACAAUGAUGAGCAUUUACUACACCUAAGGAAGCUGUUCCAAGUCUUAACAGAAGCGGAACUCUACAUAAAUACUAAGAAAAGCAUGUUUAUGAAAAAAGAAAUUGCAUUCCUCGGCUUUAUAAUCAAACAAGGAAGCAUAAGCAUGGAACCAAAGAAAAUCGAAGCCAUCCAUACAUGGCCGACUCCUGCCUCCAUUAAAGAAAUACAAGCCUUCCUCGGCCUGGCUUCGUUUUACAGGAAAUUCAUCAGAAAUUUCAGCUCUUUAGCCGCACCACUAACUGACUGUCUAAAGAAAGGAAACUUCAAAUGGACCCCGUUACAACAAGAAAGCUUUGAAGAUAUCAAAAAGAAGCUCACAUCCAGCCCUAUCCUUAGAUUACCAGAUUUCUCUUCACCUUUUGAAGUAGCAGUUGAUGCAUGCUGUACAGGGAUUGGAGCUGUCCUAGUACAACAAGGACAUCCUAUCGAAUACUUCAGUGAAAAACUCAGCACCUCAAGACAGACCUGGAGCACAUACGAACAAGAGCUGUAUGCCCUCGUCCGAGCACUAAAACAAUGGGAACACUACCUGAUCUCUAAAGAAUUUGUACUCCUAACUGACCAUUUCUCACUAAAAUACCUUCAAGCUCAAAAGAAUAUCAGUAGGAUGCACGCACGCUGGAUAUCCUUCCUCCAAAGGUUUGACUUCGUGAUCAAACACCAAUCAGGCAAAGAGAAUAAGGUGGCCGAUGCUCUAAGCAGAAAAGGCUCCCUACUCACAAUACUGUCCUCGGAAAUCAUAGCAUUCAAACAUUUACCCGACUUAUACGAAGGUGAUACUGACUUCAAGGAUAUCUGGUACAAAUGCUCCAACUUCUUAGACGCUGAUGACUACCACAUUGUUGAAGGAUAUCUAUUUAAAGGAGAACAAUUAUGCAUCCCGCACACCUCACUACGUGAAGCCUUAAUAAAGGAAGCACAUUCUGGAGGGCUAGCUGGACAUUUCGGACAGAAUAAGACAUUGGAGAUCACUUCCAAACGAUACUACUGGCCGCAAAUAAGAAAAGACUCCAAUAAUUUCGUAAAAAGAUGCCCCAUCUGCCAAAGAACCAAAGGCUCCAGCACGAAUGCAGGAUUAUACUCGCCACUACCCAUCCCGACCUCAAUAUGGGAAGAUUUAUCAAUUGACUUCGUGAUUGGAUUACCAAAAACACAAAGACAAUUUGACUCAAUAAUGGUUAUAGUGGACAGAUUCAGCAAAAUGACACAUUUCGUAGCAUGCAAAAAGACAAAUGAUGCAAUCUACAUAGCCAACCUCUUCUUUAAAGAAGUAGUACGACUACAUGGAGUACCUAAAAGCAUAGUAUCAGACAGAGAUGUCAAGUUCCUGAGUCACUUUUGGCGAACACUGUGGAAGAAGUUUGACACAACACUGAAAUUCAGCACCACAGCCCACCCACAGACAGAUGGACAAACUGAAGUAACAAACAGGACCCUCGGUAAUCUGCUACGCUGCCUUAGCGGGUCAAAACCAAAACAAUGGGAUCUAGCAUUGGCUCAAGCUGAAUUCGCCUUCAAUAAUAUGAAGAACAGAUCAACAGGAAAGUCCCCCUUCGAAGUAGUUUAUACCAAACUACCACGAUUAACCUUUGAUCUCACUACACUCCCCACAACUGUGGAUCUCAACAACGAAGCAGAAUGCAUGGCAGAAAAUAUCAAAAAACUACACAAGGAAGUCCAUGAUCAUCUUAUACAGACAACAGACUCCUACAAAAAGGCAGCACAUAAAAAAAGAAGACAAGCCCACUUCAAUAAAGGAGACCUAGUAAUGGUACACCUGAAAAAGAGCAGAUUUCCUACUGGCACCUACAACAAGCUGAAAGACAGACAAAUUGGGCCAUUCCCUAUAUUAGAGAAAUACGGAGAUAAUGCCUUCAAGAUCGAUCUACCACAAGACAUACACAUACACCCAGUCUUCAAUGUUGCUGACCUAAAGCCAUACCAUGCACCAGAUCGUUUCAGGCUUGCUGACUGAUGGACCCUGGGACGAGUCCAUCCUUAGGGGGUGGAAUGAUGUAAACUAUAGCUAGUUAGUUAGUAAAAAUCCCUAACUAAUUAGAAAUACAGCUGUAACUAACUUCCUAAAACAGUCUUGUAACUAACUAAAUAAAACAACCUUGUAACUAACUUGUAACUAACCUUGAGAUAUCAAUAUAUAACAGUCUCCUAGCCUGAAAUAUGGCAGAGAAUUCUUUUGAAAAAUCAAUCCAACUUUGAAUUACAUCACUUCGGGUGUGGGUAUUGGGGCUGUCCUAAUGCAAAAUCAACGACCAGUGGCCUUUUUCAGUCAAGCUUUACCUAUUACCCAUAGGUUUAAGGCUGUUUAUGAAUGGGAGCUUAUGGCAAUAGUGCUGGCUGUUAAAAAAUGGCGACCAUAUCUAUUGGGUAAGCCUUUUGUGGUGCGUACAGAUCAGAAAAGUUUGAAGUUUCUUCUUGAACAACGGGCUAUCGGGGGAGAAUAUCAGAGAUGGAUCGCUAAACUAUUGGGGUAUGAUUUUGUGAUUGAGUACAAGAAAGGAUUGGAAAACAAAGCGGCCGAUGCCUUAUAGAGAUUACCACCGGUAUUUGAAUUGGGCCUCGUAAGUAUUGUGGGCGGGCUAAACCCUUCGGUUUUCGUCGAUCAAGUGGCUGGAAAUGAAUCUCUUAACAAUAUUCGAUUAUCCUUGAUAAAUGGACAGCCAGCUCCAGAUGGAUAUUUGCUACAAGGAGGAGGAUUCACCUAAUAUUACUUUAUUAUUAGCUGAGUUCCAUAACAGCCCGAUAGGGGGACAUCAUGGUGCAUUGAAAACAUAUCAAAGGCUAGCAAGGGAGGUCUAUUGGCACCUAUGUUGCUGAAUGUUCCGUGUGUCAGCAAGCCAAAUACUUGUCUUUAACUCCGGCUGGUUUCCUUCAAGCAUUACCCAUUCCGGACCGUGUGUGGGAAGAUAUUAGUAUGGAUUUUAUUGAGGGCCUCCACAAAUCCGAGCGUUAUGAUGUUAUAUUGGUAGUUGCGGAUCGUCUUUCCAAGUAUGCACAUUUCAUUCCCUUGAAACAUCCAUUUGGUGCAAAAGUGGUUGCUGCUGUUUUUAUGCGAGAGAUUAUUCGUUUGCAUGGAUGCUCCCGAAGUAUAGUGUCGGAUCGUGAUCGUAUUUUCACAAGUCUAUUCUGGGAAGAGUUGUGGAGGUUGUUGGAAACUCAGUUGAGACGAAGCACCACUUACCACCCCCAAACGGAUGGUCAAACAGAAGUUGUCAAUCGAGGGGUGGAGACGUAUCUACGGUGUUUUGCUAUGAACACACCUAAACAGUGGGGUAAAUGGCUAGCUUGGGUUGAAUUGAGCUAUAAUACAACAGUCCGUACAGCCAUAUUGAUGACCCCCUUCGAGGCCCUCUAUGGGCGACCACCCCCCUCUAUAUUACCGUAUGUGAAGGGCUCGAGUCGGGUGAAUGAAGUAGACCAUUUGAUGAAAGAAAGAGAUGAAAUUUUGGGUGUUUUGAAGGCCAAUUUACUGAAAGCACAGCAGCGAAUGGUCAAAUAUGCUAAUGCUAAAAGACAGGAGGUUCUGUUUAAGGUUCAUGAUUGGGUUUAUGUGAAGUUACGCCCUUACCAACAAUCCUCUCUCAGCCGUUUUAAGCACCCCAAAUUGGCCCCAAGAUUCAUUGGUCCAUUUAUGAUCGUGGCACGAAUUGGUUUCGUUGCAUAACGUUUGGCCUUUCCCAAGGAAUCGCUUAUACACCCAUCUUUCAUGUUUCUGUUCUUCGCAAGGUCGUGAGUUCAAACAGGCCAUUAUUCCCAAUUCCAAAAGAUUUGGCUGCUGAUUUGUCUAUGCAAGUGUCUCCAGUAGAAGUAUUGGGAGUUCGCAAAACAAUAGAAAAGGAGGACAACUUAGAAGUUUUGAUCCGUUGGAGUGAGGGGACACUUGAAAGUGCAACAUGGGAACAAGCUGCUCUUAUUCAAGAACAGUUUCCUGAAUUCCACCUUGAGGACAAGGUGGCUCUUUGGGGGGCGGAUAAUGAUAGACCUCCCAUAGUAAACGUGUAUUCCCGUAGAGACAAGAAUAGGAAGAAGAAAGAAUGAUUGAGAGUUAGUUGGUAUUUUUCUAUUUGUGUGGGCCCUUAGGAAUGUGUUUGUUAGAGUGGGGCCAAGUAUUUUGUUAUUUCUCUGAGCAAUUACUUAAGUGUCUUGAGUGGGAGGGUAUGGGUAUCUUUUUGGACAUAUGGGUCAACUGUCAAGCACAAGAUGCUGCCUACUUUCAGAUGAGCAACAUCAUUCCGAUCUUAACAGUCAGAAGAGCAAAUCAAAUCAAUCCUAGCAUAUUCACAAAUCACAACUAAAAAGUACAAACAUUACAAAAUAAAACAUGCAGCGAUAUCAACAAGCAUUCUGAUAAAUAAUUAGCCAAUUAAUUGACAUUACAAAAUAAAUAAAGAAAAACAAGCAUUCUGAUAUUUUUCUAUUUGUGCGGGCAGCCGAUGUUUACAAAACAGCGUUUCGAACCCACGAGGGGCCCUAUGAAUUCCUUGUGAUGCUGUUUGGGUUGAAACGCUCCGGCAACAUUCCAAUCAAUCAUGAGUGAUGUUCUUCGCCCAUAUUUACGCAAGUUUGUUUUGGUUUUCUUUGAUGACAUCUUAAUUUACAGCAAGUCCUUGGACGAGCAUUUGCACCAAUUGGCAAUGGUUUUGGAAACUCUAGUAGCUCAUCAACUGGUAGCCAACUUUAAAAAAUGCCAAUUUGCGGUUGACAAAAUUGAAUACUUGGGCCAUGUUAUUUCUUCAGAGGGGGUGGCAGCGGAUCCAACAAAAAUAGAAGCGAUGGUUAAAUGGCCAGCACCCAAGAACGUGAAGGAGCUAGGUGGGUUUUUUGGGGCUAACGGGGUAUUAUCGGAAAUUCGUUGCAAACUACGGUUCUAUUGUGCUGCCCCUCUUGACACAACUGUUAAAAAAGGUAACUUUAAGUGGAAUGAGACGACUGAGAACGCAUUUCAGCAGUUAAAAGUCAGCAAUGAUGUCUGUCCCAGUGCUAGGUAUUCCUGAUUUUUCACAAAGUUUUGUGCUGGAAACUGAUGCUUUGGGUGUGGGUAUUGGGGCUGUCCUAAUGCAAAAUCAACGACCAGUGGCCUUUUUCAGUCAAGCUUUACCUAUUACCCAUAGGUUUAAGGCUGUUUAUGAACGGGAGAUUAUGGCAAUAGUGCUGGCUGUUCAAAAAUGGCGACCAUAUCUAUUGGGUAAGCCUUUUGUGGUGCGUACAGAUCAGAAAAGUUUGAAGUUUCUUCUUGAACAACGGGCUAUCGGGGGAGAAUAUCAGAGAUGGAUCGUUAAACUAUUGGGGUAUGAUUUUGUGAUUGAGUACAAGAAAGGAUUGGAAAACAAAGCGGCCGAUGCCUUAUAGAGAUUACCACCGGUAUUUGAAUUGGGCCUCGUAAGUAUUGUGGGCGGGCUAAACCCUUCAGUUUUCAUCGAUCAAGUGGCUGGAAAUGAAUCUCUUAACAAUAUUCGACUAUCCUUGAUAAAUGGACAACAAGCUCCAGAGGGAUAUUCGCUACAAGGAGGAGGAUUCACCUGAUAUUACUUUAUUAUUAGCUGAAUUCCAUAACAGCCAGAUAGGGGGACAUCAUGGUGCAUUGAAAACAUAUCAAAGGCUAGCAAGGGAGGUAUAUUGGCGAGGUAUGACAGCCCAUAUCCGCACCUAUGUUGCUGAAUGUUCCGUGUGUCAACAAGCCAAAUACUUGUCUUUAACUCCGGCUGGUUUCCUUCAAGCAUUACCCAUUCCGGACUGUGUGUGGGAAGAUAUUAGUAUGGAUUUUAUUGAGGGCCUCCCCAAAUCCGAGGGUUAUGAUGUUAUAUUGGUAGUUGCGGAUCUUCUUUCCAAGUAUGCACAUUUCAUCCCCUUGAAACAUCCAUUUGGUGCAAAAGUGGUUGCUGCUGUUUUUAUGCGAGAGAUUAUUCGUUUGCAUGGAUGCCCCUGAAGUAUAGUGUCGGAUCGUGAUCGUAUUUUCACAAGUCUAUUAUGGGAAGAGUUGUGGAGGUUGUUGGAAACUCAGUUGAGACGAAGCACCACUUACCACCCCCAAACAGAUGGUCAAACGGAAGUUGUCAAUCGAGGGGUGGAGACGUAUCUAGGGUGUUUUUCUAUGAACACACCUAAACAAUGGGUUAAAUGGCUAGCUUGGGCUGAAUUGAGCAAUAAUACAACAGUCCGUACAGCCACAUUGAUGACCCCCUUCGAGGCCCUCUAUGGGCGACCACCCCCCUCUAUAUUACCAUAUGUGAAGGGCUCGAGCCAGGUGAAUGAUGAAGUAGACCAUUUGAUGAAAGAAAGAGAUGAAAUUUUGGGCGUUUUGAAGGCCAAUUUACUGAAAGCACAGCAGCGAAUGGUCAAAUAUGCUAAUGCUAAAAGACGGGAGGUGCAGUUUGAGGUUCAUGAUUGGGUUUAUGUGAAGUUACGCCCUUACCGACAGUCCUCUCUCAGCCGUUUUAAGCACUCCAAAUUGGCCCCAAGAUUCAUUGGUUCAUUUAUGAUCGUGGCACGAAUUCGUUUCGUUGCAUACCGUUUGGCCCUUCCCAAGGAAUCGCUUAUACACCCGGUCUUUCAUGUUUCUGUUCUUCGCAAGGUCGUGGGUUCAAACAGGCCAUUAUUCCCAAUUUCAAAAGAUUUGGCUGCUGAUUUGUCUAUGCAAGUGUCUCCGGUAGAAGUAUUGGGAGUUUGCCAAAACAAUAGAAAAGGAGGACAACUUAGAAGUUUUGAUCCGUUGGAGUGAGGGGACACUUGAAAGUGCAACGUGGGAACAAGCUGCUCUUAUUCAAGAAACAGUUUCCUGAAUUCCACCUUGAGGACAAGGUGGCUAUUUGGGGGGCGGGUAAUGAUAGACCUCCCAUAGUAAAGGUGUAUUCCCGUAGAGACAAGAAUAGGAAGAAGAAAGAAUGAUUGAGAGUUAGUUGAUAUUUUUCUAUUUGUGUGGGCCCUUAGGAAUGUGUUUGUUAGAGUGGGGCCAAGUAUUUUGUUAUUUCUCUAAGUAAUUACUUAAGUUUCUUGAGUGGGAGGGUAUGGGUAUCUUUUUGGACAUAUGAUUUUGGUAUAGACUCUCAUUAGAGAAGUGUGUAGAGAUUGGGGAGCUCUCAAAUCCUCCCCCACAGUUGAUAAAUAAAAUUUUGGCUAAAGCCUUGACAAAAGCUAAUGUAGAACAUCCCCUUCUUUAUGUUUCUUGAGUUUUAUCCUAGAGGAGGUGUUUGAAUUACCAUUUUUAUAGUUUAGGAUUAGUUAUUUGAAUUAACAAUUUUGUAUCUUGAGUUAGUUAUAAGUAAACUAACUCAACCCCAAGUUAGUUUAACAACUCUUGUAAUCUCCAGCCUAUAAAAAGGCUUCUCAUUUUCAUUAAUAAAUCAUAAAAAAAAAGGCAUUAUACAUAAAGAUUUCCUAGCUUUGCAAUUACAGCACCAAAAGCAAUGUACAGUUCAGAUGAGACUUUAUUCCAGUAUAGAGUAGCUCUGUAAUUGCAGAUCAAGAAAGUGAAUGUAGCAUGGAAAUCCCAAAUUCAAUGUUUGGAAGUUAGCAAUUGACAAUCUCAUUAGUAGGAAGACAGCAGAUUAUUAGCAAAUUCAAUGUGAUUGAGAUCUUUUAGCAUGACUACUUGAGAACUUUUAGCACAACCGCGGCAGCAACUUCAAUAACAGAAAAACAUGCAUAAUGUAGGAAGACAGCAGAUUUCAAAUUAUGACAUUGUAUUUAUGAACGUCAGGCGAUACAUUAAUGUUCCAAAAUUCAACCAAAGUAUGGGGUGAAAGAUAUAUAAGAAUCUUCCAUGAUAAGGCCAAGACCAGGAUAUCCUUAUCCAAAAAAAGAAAAAACUAAUCAACCAAAGUAAAUUCCAUGUAUGAUUGGGAAUUAUGGCCAUACCUUUGCCAAAAGAACUUCGAGGAAAUGGAAAAGCUGGAGAUGUUGCUCAUGUAUCAUUCCCGAACCAGGAUUGGGGUAGAGCAAAUGGUCAGCGAUUUGCUGGAUUACCAAGCAGAAAAUAACUUAUAUUAGAAAAAAUGAACAAUACAUACCCACAUAUUACUGAAAUUUUAUGAAAUAGAUUUCAAGCAACCAAUUUUUAUAUUGAAAUGUGAUCUCACAACUAUUUUUAUUUUGAAAAGCGAUUUCAAACAACUAUGGCUGUUUCAUCACGCUUCAUGUUAUCCAAUAAUACUACAGGAUUAACAAAGCCAUGCCAUGCUAAUAAUAAGGAAUGUCGUGAUAACCUUAAAUAAACCAUACUGCACGUCAAAGGCUGCCCGUGUAAUGUUCUCCAUGACAUCUUUAAAAAUACCACCACCAUCAAUUCCUGCCUCCUCAACUCCAAAAUUCAUUAACAAAAGACACACGUAUCUGCAUGCAGAAAAGUGAAGCAAUUGACCCAACACAAACAAGAAAAAACUAAUAAACAAUUACAAGUAACUCUGCAACUAUAGGAUGCAGAAGAGGGAAGGGGUCGUUUUCACGAGGGCAAAGAAAAAGAUAGAAAAAAGUAAGAUAACAAUUUCAUUUUUCAUAAAUCAUGGAAGUCUGAAAUUACCGAUCCUCGAAGAUCAACUUCAGACAAUGCACUCAUCUGACUGAAAGCAUCUUCCAAUAUAUGAUUUCGUCGAAUUCUAAACCGGUUUUCUGGCAAAAACAGCAAGAGAUCCAUUCCUUUGCCUAGCUGCUGCUAGUUGUGUCUGUGAAAUGAGUUAUAGAGAAAGUAACCAUAAAUAAAAAAUAUCUUACAUAUUUCUAUAACUAACAGUCAUCCAAGAAAUUCAAUAUUGUGGAUAAGGAAACCAAAAAAAAUAACUUGCUUACAGUGAAAAUCUUAACCCUGCUAGUAAACGGUACUAAAAAGGGAACUCGCUUGUGUAUAUCAUUUGCUCUGGUAUUUUCCAUCACUGCCUACAAAGAAACAAGGCCAAGUAAAUAAUUAGAAUUACGAUCAGAUAGUGGUUUCUCUCAUGGAAAUUCCAUUGCAAAAUGGAAGGUUCACUUGGUCUAGAGAUGGUAAUUCUCCUUGAAGAUCAUUAUUAGACAGAUUCUUCAUAAAUCAGAUGUGGGAUAUUUGUUUUGAAAAUUCUCGGGUUUCUCGAAAAGCACGCAUCUUCUCGGAUCACUUUCCUUUAUUCUUGGAGGCUGGUUCUUUUCUUUGGGGUCCCUCUCCUUUUCGGUUUUGUAACAGCUGGUUGGUGUCCAGUGAUUCUAAUCAGAUUAUUGUUGAAACAGUGAGCAACUCUAACUUCCAGGGAUGGGCUGGUUUCAUUCUUCAUGAGGCAGUUGAGAUCAGUUAAAUUGGCAGUAAAAAGCUUGGAAUAUUGCUGCGCAAGCUAAGGUAAAAAAAAAACAGAGAAAUCCUUGAUGUCAAAAUUAGAAAAAUAUGAUUCUGUGGCUGAGUUUGAUUGGAUUAAAUCAAGAAGAGUUGAAUUCUAGAGCUGCUUUGCAAGCGGAAUUACUUAGUAUUUAUCAAAACGAAGAGCGUAAUUUUAUUCAGAAGAGUAAACUCAAUUGGCUUUCUUUGGGUGAUGAGAAUACGGGCUUCUUCCACCGGUUUCUAAAUGCGAAAAAAAGAAGGAACCUCAUAACUGAAUUAAAAAAUGAUUGAUGGGGUUGUCUCGACUUCAUUCCGCGACAUUGAAAGGGCUUGUGCUGGAAUUUUUUUGAGUCACUUUAUACCAGAAUUCCGGGGGACAGAUUCAUCCCUAUUAACAGUAAUUGGUCUUGUGUUUCCUCAAUUCAGAAUGAGCGCUCUUGUUACCCAAUUUUCAGUGGAGGAGAUCUUUAAGGCAUUAAAGGCACUUUGGCAACAAUAAAGCUCCGGGCCCGGAUGGCUUCACAGUGAAGUUCCUAAUCACCCAAUGGUCUAUUUUCAAGGAUAUCUUCAAAUCACUAAUGUCUGAUUUCCACAGAAAUAGAAGAUUAAAUGCUUGCAUCCAAGAAAACUUUAUUUGUUUAGUGCAGAAAAAAGAGAAUGUGACUCUAGUCAAGGAUUUCCGUCCAAUCAGCCUUACUACGUUAGCAUACAAGGUCGUUGCAAAGGUUUUAUCUGAACGUCUAAAACAAGUUAUGGAUGCAAUUAUAAGCCCCACUCAAAGCGCCUUUAUUGAAGGUAGGCAAAUUCUUGACCCAAUAUUAAUUGCUAACGAGGCCGUGGAAGAUUAUAGGGCAAAAUGGAAAAAAGGAUGGAUUUUAAAACUUGACUUGGAAAAAGCCUUCGAUAGGGUGAAUUGGAACUUUUUAGAAAAAAAUUUAUCUUUGAAAAAGUUUAGUUCAAAAUGGACAUCAUGGAUAAUGGGCUGCCUAAAAAUUCCAAAGUAUUCAAUCUUCAUCAAUGGUAAGCCUAGAGGCCGGAUAACAGCAUCUAGAGGUAUCCGCCAAGGGGACCCCCUCUCCCCCUUUUUAUUCCUCCUAGUAAGUGAGGUUUUAGGAGAAAUCAUAAACAAGCUUCAUAUUAACAGCCAGUUUGAAGGUUUCCUUGUUGGCAAAGACUUGAUCCACCUCCCUUUGCUUCAAUUUGUCGAUGAUACUCUUCUCUUUUGUAAGUAUGAUGUGAAGAUGCUCCUUAAACUUUAAAACGUCAUUAGUUUAUUCGAAUGGUGUUUGGGGCAGAAAGUAAACUGGGAAAAAUCAGCCCUUAGCGGCGUUAAUGUGGGAGAGGAAGAUUUGUUUCAAACAACAAAUCUGAUAGGGUGCAAGGUAGAAAAGCUUCCGAUUAUAUAUUUAGGUCUCCUUUUGGGAGGCUACCCUCGACAAAAGUCUUUUUGGCAACCAGUCAUUGAUCGAAUUCACAAGAAACUUGAAAGGUGGAAAAGAUAUAACAUCUCUAGAGGCGGAAGACAAACCUUAUGCAACUCAGUUCUGGUUAGCCUUCCUACAUACUACCUACUUUAUUUUCUAUACCUGAAAAUGUGGCUGCCUCUUUGUUAAAGUGAGUUUUUGGAUUGAAGGAAAAGGUCUGCAAUACUCCUUGAAAGACAGGGGAAGCAGAAGAUUGGUGUUCUAUAUUCUGGUUUGCUUAUUAGUAUUUUGUUGUUUGGAAUUUUGGAUUAGGAGGUUUUCUUUGUUUGAUGUUUGUGAAUUAUAUGUAACGUGACUCAUUUUCUGAGGUUCACGGUUUGCUUAUGUUGUAAGUUGUGUUUGAAUUGUCAAUAUAAUAGAAACACUACAUCAGUGUUCUAUCAUGAUGUCAUCCUUGGAAUGCAAUGGCUGCACACGUUGGGGUAACUGAAGUGGAUUGGCGGAAACUCACUUUAAUUUUCAUACAAAAUGAAAAGAAUGUUGUUAUAAGGGGUGACCCGAGUUUGACAAAGACUAGAGUGAGUCUGUAACACAUGAUGGAGAAAUGGACACCAUCUGAUUACGGUUUCUUGACAAAAUGUCGAGCUAUGGAGGGAGGAAUGACAUUUACCGAACUAUAUGGAAUUGAUGAUGUUCCUACAUUUCAAGAGUUACUACCAGCAGACAAUUUUGGCUAUCCUAAAAAUCCAGCAACAAAGAAGUGGGAAGUGCUUGUUAGUUGGAAAGGAAUACCACCUCAUGAGGCUACAUGGGAGAAUUGUGAUGAUUUUACACAAAAGCUUCCUCAUUUCCCACCUUGAGAACAAGGUGUCUUUGGAGAGGGAGAGUAAUGAUAGACCACCAAUUGCAAUACGAUAUAGCAGAAGAAAGACAAGUGGAAUUGCACGUGCACAGGUGAUGGAAUUGGAGGAAGUGGAAACCACCUUAGUGGGGACAACAGUUAGUUACAGGGGGGAGGUUAAAAGGGAGAGAUGGAAGGAAAGAUGGGGGUUGGUUAAUCAGUUUCUGGAAGUGGAGGGGCUGUAUUUUCUGGAGAGCAGAAUUACAGAAGUUGUUCAGUUUAAUCUUAGAAAGUGUUUUCCAUUAUCGUAAACUACUUUUGAUGUUUGAAUGUUUUAUUUUGUACUUGGUUAUUGUCUGUAAUAGUACUUAUUUGUUCUGUGUUUUCAAGACUGGUUUGAGUAUUGUAUUCUGUAAUAGUUUGGUUGCUUAAUGAACAAAUAAGAACCAUUACUUGGUGUUCUAUCAGCUUCUCAAUCAAGCAUUAACAUCUCAAUAAGGUAUUAUACAUGCAAUCAAACAAUCACAACAUACAUACCAUUUACUCGAAACGACCUAAAACAUGCUCAAAACGUGUCUAAGUUUCACUUGAACUUUCAAAACGACCUAAAACAGCUUACGUGUAGGUUCGUAACUCAUAACCUACGAAAAAAGUUCAAAUAUUGUGAAAAAAGCACUACAAGACCCAAAAUGGCAACCGAGUGUGUAAGUGCAACAAACUUAAUUCAAACCAACCUAAAAUGUGCUCAAAACGUGUCUAGGUAUUACUUGAGUUUUCAAAACGACCUAGCAAAUCCUAAGUGUAAGUUCGUAACUCAUAAUCUACCAAAAAGGUUGAAAAAAGCAUUUCAAGACCAAAAAUGACAACCAAGUGCAACAAACUCAAUCUAACCUAAAAUGUAUUCAAAACGUGUGUAAGUAUCACUUGAAUUUUCAAAACGACCAAGCAAUGCUUAAGUGUAAGUUUGUAACUCACAACCUACCAAAAUUUCAAAAAGUAUGAAAAAAGUACUUCAAGACCCAACAUGUCAAUCAAAUGUGUGUAAAACUUAGUUUCAAACCAACCUAAAACGAGUUCAAAACGUGUCUAAGUUUCACUUGAACUUUCAAAACGACCUAACAAAUAUUCAAUACAAGUUCAUAAGUCAUAACCUAGCAAAAAGUUCAAAAUUUUUGAAAAAGACACUCCAAAACCCAAAAUGUCAAGUGUGUAAGUGCAACGAACUUAGUUCUAUACAAACCUAACAAGUAUUGAAAACACGUAUAAGUUUUCAAACACCCUAACAACGCUUAAGUGUAAGUUUAUAACUCAUAACUUACCAAAAAUUUCAAAAAGUGUGAAAAAAAAUCUUUCAAGACUCAAAAUGGCAACCAUGGCUGUAUGUAAAACUAACUUAGUUUGUAACAACCUAAAAGGUGUUCAAAAAAUGUUUAAGUAUCACUCGAACUUUAAAAACGACCUAAUAAUGCUUUAGUGUUACUUCAUAACUCAUAACCUACCAAAAAGUUCAAAAAAUGUAGAAAAAGCACUCCAAAAUCCAAAAUGGCAACCAAGUGUGUAAGUGCAACAAACUUAGUCUCAACUUUAAAAUUAGUGCGAGUUGGGAAAUGUAUUAACUCAAGCAUGAUGUAAAAACUUGAAACGACUUAAAUAUUUAUUCACCAUCACAUAAAAACAGUAAUUAAAUAUAGAUAACAUGUGUAAAUAAAGGGAGAAUCACCUUUCUAGCAGUAGCUUUAGAGUAAGACCAAACACCAUCCUCCUACUUGUAAAUCUGCUCGAUUGUCUACUUUGUUCUACACUCGUCAUUUCACCAUCUCAGGCCAUCCAUUGAAUUGGCCACCCAGCCUUGGCAUACAAGAGUAUGUCUCAGCCUGUUAACAAAUACCACUAAAACUAAGCAAGACGAAGAAAAAAGUUUUCAAAAAAUUACCUAACUUUUAGGUCUUCAUGUGACCUUUAAGUACUUCUGUUUUCUCCUUCAACUCUUUGACAGAUUGCUGAAAUUAUGUGUUUCUGCAAUGUUUACCAGAACAUGAAAGAUUCAUUACGAAAAUAAAUACCAUGAAUACAAACCAUGAAGAAAUAGUAAAACAGUCAAUACAAGAAGAAAAAAGUUCACUUGAAAACGACCUAAAACAGUAUCACUUGAACAAAAUGUGUCUAAGUAUCACUUGAACUUUCAAAACGACCUAAAACAGCUUACGUGUAGGUUCGUAACUCAUAACCUACGAAAAAAGUUCCAAUAGUGUGAAAAAAGCACUACAAGACCCAAAAUGGCUACCAAGUGUGUAAGUGUAACAAACUUAGUUCAAACCAACCUAAAACGUGCUCAAAACGUGUCUAGGUAUUACUUGAGUUUUCAAAACGACCUAGCAAAUCCUAAAUGUAGGUUCGUAACUCAUAUAAUCUACCAAAAAGGUUGAAAAAAGCAUUUCAAGACCAAAAAUGACAACCAAGUGCAACAAACUCAAUCUAACCUAAAAUGUAUUCAAAACAUGUUGAGCCAACAAAGAUACACACCAGCAAACUUUUGAACAUAGGACCCUCCUAAACUACUCACUUUUGAACAUAGGACUUCCUCAACUAUCUACUCACUUCUGAACAUACAACCUUGAUAGAACACUUAUGUACUGUUUCUAUUAUAUUGAUAUUUGAGACUUAAAGUUGCAAUAGAAAGAAAAUUACAGAGAAAUUACAAACAACAAGCAAAGAAACCCUCCUAAUCCAAAACAGAAAUAAACACAAUUCAAAAUACUACAAUUAAAACCAGAACAAUUCUGGCAGGCCCUUCCUUUUACUAAAAACUGCCUGCCCUUUCCCAUCUCCCUCUCAUCCAUUUAACUUCCUGUUUUAGAUAACUGUCAUCCUUUUGAAUAAGUAACUGUGUUGAUUACUAACGUGCCUUACUUUCCUUUCUUCUAUUAUAAGUAAAAUAACAAUGGUGGUCUAACAGACCUCCUAAACUAUCCACUCUAGAGCAUGUUAAAUCACCAAUUCAUCCAAAAACUAAUGACGUAAAUGUAAUAUUAUAUCUUCAACGUAAAUGUAAAUGUAAACUAAUGACACUACAAGUGAUUUUGAAACUAAGACAUUGAAGCAGUCUGUUAGGAAGGGUGAUGGAACCAGCAAGAGUGGGGGGAGUUCUUUAAAACAAUCAGAGGUCAAGAGAAAGAAGGGAUCAGCUAAAUCUAUUUCUGGAAAAAACGUGAAAAGAUUGUCAGGUGAUGAUGAUAAAAAGGAAACCACACCUGUGCUGAAACCAGCCUCCAAAAAUUGGAAGUAAAUCAAAGGAUCAAGGCACUCUUGAAAUUGGAAGUAAACGUGGUAGCACAGGUCCAAAAAUCGCUGGCAAGUCGAAGAAUGAUGAUGCCGAAUCCAACAAGACUAGCAAAUCUAAGGACGAUGAGACAUCCACACCUGCCGCUGUUGCAAAGUCCAACAAGCAAGAUGUAUCGAAGACGGGGAAGUCCAAACAAGAAACCCCAAAAACUCCCGUUUCAAAAGGCAAGUCUACCAAAACAGGCGAUAAGUCUAAUAAUACCAAUCUCUCCACCAAGGUUAAGUUCACAUCUUCAAAAGCAAAAGAAAAAGAAAGUGGAGAUGUGAAGCAUUCAUCAACUUCUGGGAAAACAAUGGAGAACUCAAAGGGAAAGUCACUAAAUUCAUCCAAUGAUCAGGGCAGUGAAUCCAAGUCAGGAAAGAAAAGAAGAAGAGAGUCAAAAGGUUGAUAACCACGUCUAUUCCAAAAAGGUUGGAGUUGUCUAUUCUUGGCUCAGUUUGCACCACAUAUUUGCAAAUUCUACUAUGAGUAGUUCUUGGCAAACUUGAUCUCUGGAUCUGAUGAUGUCUCUCAUUGGCACAUUUUCGAGAUUGUCGUAUAUUCUUAGUUAGGUAGGUUAGCAGCAAUUAUAGGAGUAUGGCAGUUCUCUUUGUAGUUGUUUGGCGCUAUUCAUGUCAUCUGUGGGAGGUAAAUGACCAAUAAAAAAUAAUACGCAAUAAAAAAGAAUCAGAAAGAAAACAAUAUGCAUUUUUGUUUUCAAAUUCUUGGUGAAAUCACAAUUCAGAAAUGAAAUUUGGUUCAUUCUCCACGAUAAUAUGGUGACCUAAAUAACAUAAGUUUCAGAGUCAUGGGAGAUUAAAAGCCUUGCUAAUUGCUCAAACUCUGAAUGCAAAGGCUUUUCCCAUGUGAAGGAACCCAGAGAACCAGCCAAAGCAGCAUGCUUCUUCCCAAUGCAAGAACAUUCAGUGUAUCUUCUGAUUAUGUACUGAAUGCAGUAGGAAAAAUGAUAUGAAGUUGUAAUUCAAGCUAAGGUUUUGUUGCAUAAACCAAAAACUUAAAUGGAUAAAACACAAAAUGCAUCCUAUUCCCACCUUAUGCCUACUACAUCGCUAACAAUACACUUACUGCAGCACCAAGAUACAGCUUGUAGCCAAAUUUCAGAAGGAAAAAAUAUAUUCAGAUUUCUGCAUAUCGAGAAUUCGGUGAAACGCACCUGAGUUUAUUUACUCAACUAAUCCACAACAAUUUGUGAUAUGAACACUCUUGGCAGAGGUCCAUUGACCCCAUCACCAUCGGCAGCAGCAUUAGAAAUGAGCUGUUUCCACCAACAUAUUACUACAUUGAACCAAGCAAGGAAGGACCAAAAACAGUGUAAAUGGGACGUAUGGUUACUCCAUUUUCCCUGUUGUUGGGUCCAAAACUACCCAUCGCUCAUUCCAUUUCCUCAACUGCAAACAUUGUAAUAGAGAAAAUCAGAUUUGCUACAAUGAAGGCUCAUUGCCAUAAAAAAUGCUGUCUAAGAACAGAAACGCAGAAAAUAGAAGGCUGAUCAAACGUGACCACAAUUCUGCAUAUGCGCACUACAAAACAGUCUGAGAAUACUAUCACAUCGACGGCCAUAUUCAUAAACACAAAUAUGCCGACAGUUAGAUCACGAACAUGGGCAUUUCUCACAUUUCUAAUCUCCUUGAAAUCACAAAUCCCGACGUCCUAAUCUUAAUAAGUACUUCUAGGUGAUUUAAUUAAGUCUUCAAAUAUCACUAAAACAGUCGGAACGAUUUAAAUGGAAGACCUAAAGGCAGCGCAAUUAAGCAGUAACCAUCAAUUCAAAACAAAAGGAAAGACAGAAAGAGUUGCAAUGCGUUAGUUUACUGUUUCAGAUCGCUUUAGAAGGGGACCCUGCAACAAAUUCCGACCAGACCCAGAGGCCAGCUGCCGCUUGAUCUUCUCCAAACUGUCCCCGGCAUCUUCCGCUCUCUCCACCAACAACAAUCAUAAAUUAAAAACAUGUCGAGCCAACAAAGAUACACACCAGCAAACUUUUGAACAUAGGACCCUCCUAAACCUUAAACAGAUUUUGCAGUGGGCUUCCGACUCAAAUAAACAGCCUCCAUGCUCCCCAAAACGUUCCUAAGAAAGGAUUCAUCUCCCUACCAACCAACAUGCAUCACAUCCCAUAACUUUCAUUUCUUCAUAAAAAAUGUAACUAACUCAAGGUAAAAAAAAAAAAAAAACAGAACAAGAACACUAACCAACUUCUAAGGAAUCAGCUCCCUGCCAACAUGCACCACAUCCCAUAACUUUAAUUUCUUCAAAUACAAAGGAUUUAACUCAAAGUAAAAAAAAAAAAACAGAACACGAACUCUAACCAACAAAAAUAGAAAAACCAACCUUAACCCUUGAUCCUUGCAGUCCAUCGAGAGGUUCAGCACUGGACAUGAUCGAGAACAUUCGGUUCCCAGCCACAGGUUUGGCCAUCGACGAAGAUUUUCAGAGGGAAAUGAAAUUUUUGGAAAUGGGUAGUGAACAAAAGUAAGGCUGAAAUGAUUUUGUUUGGAGAGUGGGCAAAAUUCUGGCGAGUGAGGAGAAAAGGGAAUACAUGGGGUUCGGUUUACAGGGAUUUUUCUUAAUGAUUGUUGGAAGAACAAAGAGAUUGUGAGGAGAUUUAAGGGUAACGACACAAAUGCAGAAUGUUAAAUCCAAAAAGGCGAAAUGGCCAAUUGAAUAUUUAAGGAAGUUUGAUCUGCCUGCUAGCUGUUUUCUUGCUUCUUUAUGGAAAUGUUGCAGAAAGAGUAGAACGAUGACAUAGUGCAUAAUGUGUUUCUCUUUACAAAGUAACCAAUGACUUACAAGAAAGACACCACACAACAAAUGACCAUUGGAAAACAAUAUACAUAUGAAAAGCUAAAAAAAUUUGCAGAAAUUGAAAAUGAAAUUUAAAGUAGAAAAGAAAUGAAAGAAAAAUACCCUAAAAGUUGCAAGUGCAAUAUGAUCAUAACCAAUUAGUAUCACCAUCAAAAGAUCGAACAAGCUCCAAAGUGGAUUUUACAGUGUGAUUCUGACUCACAUAAGCAGUCUCCAGGACUGCAAAACCAUUUCUAAGAAAGGAUCAUCACAACCCAUAACUUUAAAUUCUUCAAAAACAAUGCAAUGAAAUCAAAUCAGAAAAAAACAGAACAACAAUAACUAAAAAAUAAACCUUAACCCUUGAUCCUUGCAGUCCAUUGGAAGGUUCGGCACUCGACAAGAUCGAGAACAAUCGAUUCCUAGCAGCAGGUUUCGACAUCGACAAAGAAUUUCCGAGGGAAAUGAAAAUUUUGGAAAUGAGUAGUGAAGAAAAAUAAGGUUGAAACGAUUUUGUUUGGGGAGUGGGAAAAAUUAUGGCCGAUGGGGAGAAAAGGGAAGACAUGGGGUUCGGUUUACAGGGAUUUAACAAAGACAUUGUGAGGAGAUUUAAGGGCAACGACAAGAAUGGCAGAAUGUUAAAACCCAAAAGACUAAAUGGCCAAUUGAAUGUUUAAGCAGAUUGAUCUGCCUAUUAGUUGUUUUCUUGCUUCUUUACGGAAAUGGGGUAGAAAGAGUAGAACGAUAACAUAGUUCACUUUGUUCUUCUCUUUAUAAAGUAGCCAAAGACUUAAAAGAAAGACAUUGCACAACAAGUGACCAUUAAAAAAUAAUAUACAUACGAAAGAAUAAAAAAUAAGCAGAAAUUGGAAGUAGAAAAGAACCAAAGAAAAAUACCCAAAACUUCAAAAUGCAAUAUGAUCAUAACAGAUUGGUAUCAUCACGAACAGAUCGAACAAACUCCAAAACAGAUUUUGCAUUGGGCGUCCAACUAAAAUAAACAGCAUCCAUGCUCGCCAAAACGUUCCUAAGAAGUGACACCAUUUCACAACAAGUAGCCAAUGACUUAAAAGAAAGAUAUUGCACAACAAGUGACCAUUAGAAAAUAAUAAACAGAAGAAAGAAUAAAAAGAUAAGCAGAAAUUGGAAGAAGAAAAGAAAUGGAAGAAAAAUACCCCAAAACUUCAAAAUGCAGUAUGAUCAUAACAAAUUUGUAUCAUCAUGGACAGAUCGAACAAACUCCAAAACAGAUUUUGCAGCGGGCUUCCGACUCAGAUAAACAGCCUCCAUGCUCCCCAAAACGUUCCCAAGAAAGGAUUAAGCUCCCUACAAAAAACAAUGUAACUAACUCAAGGUAAAAAAAAAAAACAGAACAAGAACACUAACCAACUUUUAAGGAAUCAGCUCCCUGCCAACAUGCAUCACAUCCCAUAACUUUAAUUUCUUCAAAUACAAAGGAUUUAACUCAAAGUAAAAAAAAAAACAGAACACGAACUCUAACCAACAAAAAUAGAAAAACCAACCUUAACCCUUGAUCCUUGCAGUCCAUCGGGAGGUUCGGCACUGGACAUGAUCGAGAACGUUCGGUUCCCAGCCACAGGUUUGGCCAUCGACAAAGAUUUUCAGAGGGAAAUGAAAUUUUUGGAAAUGGGUAGUGAACAAAAAUAAGGCUGAAUGAUUUUGUUUGGAGAGUGGGCAAAAUUCUGGCGAGUGAGGAGAAAAGGGAAUACAUGGGGUUCGGUUUACAGGGAUUUUUCUUAAUGAUUGUUGGAAGAACAAAGAGAUGUGACGAGGUAAAUGUAAUAUUAUAUCUUCUAACCAUUGUCAACUUAAAUAUGUUUUUUACUAUAACCAGUGGGUUUGCUGAAAUUGAAUGAUCAAUCCAUAAAAUAAAAAUUAAGUUGGAAGUAGAAGAAAUGGGAGGAAGAAAAAUACCCCAGAAGUUCUAAAAGCGAUAUGAUCUCAAUAAAUUGUAUCAUGAUGAACAGAUCGAACAAGCCCCAAAACAGAUUUUGCAGUGGGAUUCCGACUCGGAUAAACUGACUCCAUGCUCAACAAAACAUUCCUAAUAAAGGAUUCAGCUUGCUAUCAACAUGCAUCACAACCCAUGACGUUAAAUUCUUCAAAACCAAUGCAAUUAAAUCAAAGCAGAAAAAAACAGAACAAGAACUCAAACCAACGAUAACAAAAGAAUAAACCUUAACCCUUGAUCCUUGCAGUCCAUUGGGAGGUUCAGCACCGGACAUGAUUGACAACAAUCGAUUCCCAGCUGCAGGUUUCGGUAUCGACAAAGAAUUUCCAAGGAAAUGAAAAUUUUGGAAAUGGGUAGUCAAGAAAAUUAAGGUUGAGAGGAUUUUGUGUGGAGAGUGGGAAAAAUUCCGGCCGGGGGGAGAAAAGGGAAGACAUGGGGUUCGGUUUACAGGGGUUUUUCUUAAUGAUUGUUGGAAGAACAAAGAGGUUGUGAGGAGAUUUAAGGGCAACCAAAAGAAUGGCAGAAUGUUUGAUCUGGCUUGCUUCUUUAUGGAAAUGUCGUAGAAACAGUAGAACGAUGACAUAGUUCCCUUUGUUUUUCUAUUCACCAAAAAACCAAUGACUUAAAAGAAAGACAUUGCACCACAUAUGAGCAUUAGAAAACAAUAUACAUAAGAAAGAAUAAAUAAUAUGAAUAUGCAGAUAUUGAAAAUGAAAUUGGAAGUAGAAAAAAAAAUGGAACGAAGAACAAUACCCCAAAAUUUCCAAAUGCAUUAUGAUCAUAAAAAUUUUGUAUCAACACGAACUGAUCGAAUAAGCUCCAAAAUGGAUAUUGCAGUGGGAUUCCGACUCAGAUAGGCAGUGUACAGUCUUGCCAAAACGUUCCUAAGAAAGGAUCAUCAAAACCCAUAACUUUAAAUUCUUCAAAAAUAAUGGAAUUAAGUCAAGGCAGUACAAUACGAAACAAAAACUCUAACCAACGAUAAGAAAGAAAUAAACCUUCACCCGUGAUCCUUGCAGUCCAUUCGGGGGUUCAGCACUGGACUUGAUCGAGAACAAUCAGUUCCAAGAUGCAGGUUUCGGCAUAGACGAUGAUUUUCCAAAAAGUGAAAUGAAUUUUUUGGAAAUGGGUUGUAAAGAAUUUGUUUCGAGAGUGGGCAAAAUUCUGGCCGGCGUGGAGAAAAGGAAAGACAUGGGGCUCCAAUUCUAGGGAUCUUUCUCAAUGAUUGUUGGGAGAACAAAGAGUUUGUGAGGACAUUUAAGGGCAACGACAAGAAUGGCACAAUGUUAAAUCCCAAAAGACUAAAUGGCCAAUUGAAUGUUUAAGCAAAUUGAUAUGCCUGUUAGGUGUUUUCUUGCUUCUUUACAUAAAUGGGGUAGAAAGAGUAGAACGAUAACAUAGUUCACUUUGUUCUUCUCUUUACAAAGUAGCCAACGACUUAAAAGAAAGACAUUGCACAAAUAGAUACAUAUAAGUCUUAACUAGUCUAAUAGCACCCUCCAUUCAUCUUCCCCUACACUGGCUAUGGUAUCAAAAUUUUCAAUUAAGUAAUACGUCUACUAACGAACUUGAAAACAAAACACAUCACACUAAAAAACACAAACAUCACUUUAACCCAACAGAAGCAACUCUUUUUACCCUUGCACUCACUAUCACAUUACUAUCAUAUUUGUCAACUGUCAAACUAACUCUUUUAAGUUAUUUAGUGUGACUACAAAGUUAUGAACACCAUAAUCUUAAUUAAAACCUUUUAAUAAAUAAAUGCCAAGUUACUACUCAAGAAUGGCAAGGAAUUCAAAAAACAUGACAGCUAUCCUAAUUGGUUGAAAAUGAGAAAAAGAAGACAACCUGUUUGGACUACAAAGCCAGCAGAUAUGAUUCCUCAAAUUUGACCAUUCACUCUCCAUACUCUACAAGUCUUCAAGCACAUGAUGCUGCCUACUUUCAGAUGAGCAACAUCAUUCCGAUCUUAACAGUCAGAAGAGCAAAUCAAAUCAAUCCUAGCAUAUUCACAAAUCACAACUAAAAAGUACAAACAUUACAAAAUAAAACAUGCAGCGAUAUCAACAAGCAUUCUGAUAAAUAAUUAGCCAAUUAAUUGACAUUACAAAAUAAAUAAAGAAAAAAAUCAUUGGAAAGAUCACUGCUUAAAUGAAAUUUGAAAUAUCUCCCAAUAGUUUUGAUCGGUUGCCCGAGUUGUGAGAGUGAUCGGUUGAUAUUGCGUGCUUCCUUCAAGCGCUCCCCAGCUGCACCUGUUAGCUUCUGCCUCCGGAACCAGGUAAAUCAAUAAGAUUUAUUCUACUUGUUUUAAAGCUACUUAAACCAUCUGCCAGUCUCUGCACAAUAAAGUACUAGUCAGAAAUGUACCUUGUCUCAUACUGAGUUACUUUUUCACAUGAUUUUUGCUAGCAGGAUAAAUUAGUUUAAGCUCUAGAAGGGAGUUACUUUUUCACAUGAUUUUUGCUAGCAGGAUAAAUUAGUUUAAGCUCUAGAAGGAACCAACUUAUCCCCUUAAGGGAAACCAAAACAAAUAAUUAAGAAUAAUGAGGAUACGAAGUGGUCCUCGAGAGUAACCAGUUACAAACCUAAUGAAAAAAGCAAGAUACAAUUGUUAUAUUUCUGAAGUUCAGUUUUUCUUUAAGCCAACUUGAGACAAGAAGUAACCAACUGAUGUGUAAUGAAAAUACUCACUUCAGAAAUUUAUUUUGGUUUUCCACUGAGAAACUUUUGAUAACUUCCCAAAACAUCUAAAAAUUCAAAUUCUGAAGUUCCCACAUUUGGUUUUUCAAUCCAGCAGAAGCAUAAAAGAACAUCAUUAAAAAAGUGAAGAUAUUUCUCCGUUUCCUAUCACAAAUUUCUUGAUCAUGGUUGUGCCUGACCAAACAGAGCAUUACAAACAAUACAAGUCCAAAGUUUGUUUUCAUAGUCAUAGAAACAUAAGAGAGGACUAGAAGUCUGAAUAAUGGUAAUCAAUUUAUCACCCAGUUUCAAACACUAAUACAGGCAUAUACAUUGUAUGAAUUCGAAAUUAAUUGAAAAAUAUUAAAAAGAAUCUAAACGAUGACCAACUCCCUAAACUCCAAAGACUUCAAAAACCAUCUCCCAAUUACCCGGGUGAGAUCUUCCAACAUCAUCUACAAUUAUGAAAUUCCGAUUGCACUACAAUAAAUCUAGUAUUCGAUAUCCUAAACCAAGAAUUGUUCAACCUCCAAAGGAAGAUUAAUUGUAACUAAUCUUCUUGCAAGAUUUCAAAUUUUCAAAAUUUUGUCGAACACAAUAUGCAAAACAAUUACGCAAAACAAUUACGCAGAAAAGAAAAGAAACAAAAAUACAUAUAUAGAAAAAAGGGUUUAAUAGAACUUACCCUAUGAUAACCACUUGAAUAAGUAGUAUGUGUCCGUAGCUCAUCAACAUCCAAGCUGUCCAGUGAACCUGAUAUUGAAAGCUGAAAUGAAAUAGACCAGUCAAAGACAGCAACUCGAUUGUCUUACUGACCAAACCAAGUUGGCUCUUUGCUUUUUUAUGGGAUUUUUCUGAUGUAUAUUGCAUGUGUUGUUUGUUUUUUUAUAGCUCUUGAUUGUCUAACCUUUUUACGUUUUGCAUUGCAAGUCUCUCUUUUGUUUCUUUGGUAUGCAAUGUGGUAACAAGGUCUUGCUAGAACCGGUGGGCUAACCUUUCUAUGGUUCUAAACUUAGUUUCUAAGUUUGACUGCUCCCUUCGGAGUGACAACAAGCCUCGUUUUCCCCCUACUAUGGAACGGGGAGGAUUCCUCCUCUUUUCAAAGCCCUCGUCAAACUCAAUGCUAAGUUUGACUGCUCCCUUCGGAGUGACAACAAGCCUUGUUUUCCCCCUAAUGUGGAUCGGGGAGGAUUCCUCCUCUUUUCAAAGCCCUCAUCAAACUCGAUGCUAUGUUUAGAACGCUAAGAGUAGGUGGUCUGGUUUUGGUUAGGCCAAAAGUGAAGUUUUCCCCCAUUUUUUAUGGGCUUUUUCUAAUGUAUAUUGGAUAUGUUGUUUGAUUUUUUUUAUAGCUCUUGAUUGUCUUACUGUUUUAUGUUUUGCAUUGUCAAGUCUCUCUUUUUUUCUUUGGUAUGCAAUGUGGUAACUAGGCCUUGCUAGAACCGGUGGGCUAACCUUUCUAUGGUUCUACAUUUAGUUACUAAUUAAGUUUGAUUGCUCCCUUCGAAGUGACAAUAAGUUUUGUUAAUGUCGACCCUUUUCUAAAGGGAUUUAGUUCAUUGUGGCUAGACAAGAGGCUUCUAACUCAUGUUUGACAAGACAAAUUUGUUAAAACCAUCCCAGUUUCUAAAGAGUGCCUCCUAUCCUUUUUUACUCUAUCUAGGCUAGGUUUGGACUAAGUGCAUCAUAGGUAAGUCACGACAAAGCAACAAAGGAAGACAAAGCUAGAAAAGUAUCCAUGCACUUAUUUAUUAUACAUGCAAUCAAGCAUUCACAACACACAUACCAUUUUCUCAAUCAUGCAUUCACAUCUCAAUAAGAAAUAGCUAAAAGGAGCUUAAAACAAAAAAGACAGCAGCUUAUGCUCAAAUUUCAGCACAUAUACUCAUCAAAAUUCAGAAUUUCACAUCAUAAAACCCGAGCUCAGUGCUCAAGGGUUGCCAAUCAUGCUUUUUAUGCAAGAUCUAAUUAAGCUAAGAAGGUAUAAUGCUCAUUAUUGUAUGGAAAGAAUUCUGAAAAUUUUUGAAAUUUGGGCAAAAUUUGAACCCCCAAGUUUACACUAAACAUGCAAGCUAAGCAAGCCAUUACCCACAACCUACUCAAAAAAAUUGCUUUUUUUGUCCUAAAAGCUUUUGAAAAUCAAAGUAAAUGGAGAAAAAAUAAGGGGGGAACUAUGGACUCCCCUGGAAGGAUCGACAUCCUUGACUUUGGUUUGAAGCUUGCAUGGAUAAACCUUUUCAUUCCUUUUUCUUUGAUUAUUCAUCCUUGUUCCUGAAAAUCAAAGGAAAUUCUCUCAAUUUUAUAUAUUUACUAAAAAUUAGGAUACAUAUAAGUCUUAACUAGUCUAAUAGCACCCUCCAUUCAUCUUCCCCUACACUGGCUAUGUAUCAAAAUUUUCAAAUUAAGUAAUACGUCUACUAACGAACUUGAAAACAAAACACAUCACACUAAAAAACACAAACAUCACUUUAACCCAACAGAAGCAACUCUUUUUACCCUUGCACUCACUAUCACAUUACUAUCAUGUUUGUCAACUGUCAAACUAACUCUUUUAAGUUAUUUAGUGUGACUACAAAGUUAUGAACACCAUAAUCUUAAUUAAAACCUUUUAAUAAACAAAUGCGAAGUUACUACUCAAGAAUGGCAAGGAAUUCAAAAAAACAUGACAGCUAUCCUAAUUGGUUGAAAAUGAGAAAAAGAAAGUUAGCCAGACAACCUGUUUGGACUACAAAGCUAGCAGAUACGAUUCCUCAAAUUUGACCAUUCACUCUCCAUACUCUACAAGUCUUCAAGCACAUGAUGCUGCCUUCUUUCAGAUGAGCAACAUCAUUCCGAUCUUAACAGUCAGAAGAGCAAAUCAAAUCAAUCCUAGCAUAUUCACAAAUCACAACUAAAAAGUACAAACAUUACAAAAUAAAACAUGCAGCGAUAUCAACAAGCAUUCUGAUAAAUAAUUAGCCAACUAAUUGACAUUACAAAAUAAAUAAAGAAAAAAAUCAUUGGAAAGAUCACUGCUUAAAUGAAAUUUGAAAUAUCUCCCAAUAGUUUUGAUCGGUUACCCGAGUUGUGAGAGUGAUCGGUUGAUAUUGCGUGCUUCCUUCAAGCGCUCCCCAGCUGCACCUGUUAGCUUCUGCCUCCGGAACCAGCUACUUAAACCAUCUGCCAGUCUCUGCAUAAUAAAAUGAUUAUGAGCCUAAAUUUUACAAGUACCAGUCCGUUGAAUAUAGAAACGUGAUACUCAUGCUUUUCCAUCCUAAACAACAGAACUAUCUGCACUUCGAUUUACAAAUUCAUUGCCUUUUUCCGACAGUGCUCACAACUGUUAGUUGUUACAGGUAUACUUCUUUUAUUUAUUUAUUUUACUAAAUUCAGUAAUACCAUAUUCCAGAUAUUAGCAACAUUAUUUUAGCAUUACCUUGGAUCGGGAUUCAACAACACAGGUAAAAAAAGCAGUAUGUGAUAGCGAACUCUCAGGAACGGUCGGGUUAGAAGAGGGAGGCCUAGGUGGAAGCGGGCUCUUCAGGAUUUGGAAUCGAAAACCGAUCUGAGGGUGGAGAAUUUUCUUUGGAAGACUUGGGUUUCCGAGUGGGUCUGCGGCCCUUGAUUUCGGCACCGUUAAGGCUAGAAGAAGAAGAAAGUGGUGGAUCGACGAGAUGGGUAUGUCGCAAGAUAGAGUUUCUUGGCUGCUUCACGUUAGAGAGGAAGAGCGAAAUUUUGGAGGUAUAGGAAGAGCGAAACGGAAUUUGAGAGAUAGGAAAUCGCAGGGUUUGAGGAAGACGAAGAAGAGAAGGGGAGAUGAGAGGCAGAGUAAACCGAUGGAGAAGAAAAAGGGGAAAGAAAUUUGAAAUAAAAGAGACCGUUGAGGUUGAAGAAGAGGGAAAAGAAAAUUGACCGUUGAGGUUAUUUAAUUUUUGGAUUAAAUAUUUUCUAUGAAAAUUAAAAAAGAAAAAGUUAAAAGGCAAAUAUUUUUUACUUUUUUUUAUUAUUUAUUCUAUGAAAAUUCAAUAAUAAAAAAGCAUCUAUAUUUGCUUUUAGUAUGGUUCACAUUUUUAUUUAUUUGACAAAAAUCUAACUAAAUUAUCAUUCAUUUUGACCUAAUAUUGCAAAUAUAAAUUUAUAUUUUGCAUCUUAACUACUCUUUGGCAUUUAUAAUAUCAUUGUUCCGCACCUCAAUUUUUUUAUUGUUGUCAAAAAUAAACCUAAUCCAAAAUGAAUUUUGGGAGUUUGAGUUCGACCGUGAUUAUUGUUGAAUAAUUUUAUUUGGGAUGCAAGUUUUUCACUUAGACAUGGACAUUUUGCUAUUUUAGCAAUUUAAAUUUAAAAUUUUCUUUUAUCAAAAGUAAACCUCUUGUUUUAAUGUUUUUCUGGUCAUCCCUUUUAAAUACAACUAAUGACAAAUGAAUAUAACAAUUAAGAAAUUCGUAGAUAUAUAACAACAUUUUAAACUAAUUGCUGCAGUUAUUUUAAAUCACAUAUGUCAUUCGCUUAUAAGCCAUAAGAGUCUAUUAACGAUAUAAAUCUAUCACAAAUAUAUUUUGCUACAUUUACAAUUUUUAAAAGAUAUUGUUAUAUACUUAAUUAUUAUUCAUAAAAUCUGCUAAUCCAUUAUACUUACCCUAAGUUAAAUGAAUAAUGUCAAAAGUAAGUUUACUACGAAGGUAAUUUGUGUGACCCUUUUAUCCUAACGUAGGAAGUUUGUUCCACUCCAUACCAUUAUUGAACUAAGAAGAUUAAGUGUGUAUUAGUAUGUUUAAACAAGUAUAAUUAUAGCAAAAUCUAUGAGUGAUAUAUUUAUAUUAGCAAUACAAUAUGUGUUACAUAUGCAAAUAUUUUGUAUCUAAUCGUUGUAUUUGCAAUUAACUCCAUUCAAAUAUACAAAUAUAAACAUAACUCUUUAACCUGAGUUUAGCUAGGAUCACAAACUACAAAAAGAAAGUAUGGAAUAUAUUUAAUUUGUUUUUUUUUUCUUUGAAGAAAAUUUGGUGUGUAGCACAUUAUAUAUUUUUCUUUCCUUUAAAAAACAGUAUUGAUCUUAUAAUAUACGGCCUUGCACAAUGUAUUCACCAUAAAGAUCAUAUAAUUGUAGAGAUGUAUAGAAGGUCUGAUAAACAACAUAAACGAAAAGUUCUAAUCCUUGAAAUUGUAAACAUUACCCAUAUCCUACAAUAAAAGUCACAUCAACUUGAUAUUUGUUGAAAUUUAACAAAAAUGAAAAGAAAGCAACGAUAAACCAAUGACGAUGGAAGAAGAUACAGUUUUCAAACACAACCAGCUAUCCAAAUUAUUCAUAAUAUGGUAUUAGAAAAUAUAUUGCAAUUUGUAACCUCAUAAGUUUAUAAACAGAGUCAAAAAUUAAAGGAAAUUUUUUUAUCAAGCUUAUAUUAGGACUUUAUACUACUUAUAUGUAAUUCUUAAGUUUUCUUCUUUUAGCUAUAAAAGACACAAAUUAAGAAAAAAAAAUGACUUGAUUGUCCAUGUAAAGUUAUGCCCCAACUUUUUUUCUUCUAACUUAAGAAAAGGAACACCAACAAAUAUCUAUCCCCAUAAACUAAAAAGCAUAGGAAAAUGAUAGUAAAAGUAAAAUCAACUUUUUCUGUUAUCUUUUUCCUUCAUUCAUUUACUUCUAAUUGAAAAUAAACCAAAAGUCUAAAACCGAUCAAAUUAUUGAAAACGAAAAAACAAGAAACAUAACAGUGUGGAGAGGUAGUUAUUAUCAAGUAUUUGAUUUUGUUUAAUAGAUUCCAGUUGUGACAACCACAACAAUUGUAUGCAUGAAGUUCAUCAUUCAAACAGAUUCUGACAACAAAUUUCAACACAUCUGCAAGGCGAAAGAAGAUAGGAAUUAGGAUAACAAGGUAAUUAGAACACUGAAAUAAAUUUUAAAAAUAAUUUUAUUGCCGAUUGCUACUAUAAGCAUAAUUAUCUGCUUGUAUAAUUGUCUUGCAUGAUCUGACAAAUACAUUAUGGUAUUUGAUAUUCCAUUCAGGUUGUAUCUUGCAUGUUACCAACAAAAUCAUGUGCUUAGUGAUAAAUUACUCUUAGACUGAGAAAUACUCGAAAAAAAAUCAAGAGUAACAACUCUUAGUUUCCCAGAAAAAUUGAAACAAAAUCAUGACAAACCAACAACAAGAACUUCAUAAACUUGUCUGAUGAAAGCAACUCAAGAACAGUCUCAAUGCAGAUCAUACAUGAGUUCUUUGCUAAAUAUUUCCAAAGGCUAAAAAGAGUUAAGGAAAAAAAGAAAAACAAUAAUUACCUGUAAUUUUCGUUGGUUCAUGAUCUUCUCUUGUCAUUCCCUCACUUUAAUCUCAUAACUGAAAAGGAAAAGAGGAGGGAGGGGUGAUUAAACUCAUGCAUGUACAUAAUGUCGAAACCAGCAAAAUUACCACCCUAUUAACUAUGAAAGUCUGGUUGUGGUCGAAGUAGGGUGAAAGUCAGUGUAGAUUAGGAUAGAUGUCACCGUGAAGCUCACUGUCGGUUGGGGGAGAACAUAAAAAUUGACUUUUUUCUUUUAUAACAGGCUGACUGACCUACAGGCUGGGGUGAACUGGCUGGCAAGGAGGAAGUGACAUGCUACCACUAGGUUGUGUUAGGUGUGAACAAUGGACAAUGGUGGCUAGAAGUGAGGGAAGGGCUUUGUCAAAGGGUCGUGCAGGGCUGAACUCCAACUGUCCAAUAUUAGUUUGUUCGCUUACUUUCUUUGUUUCACCCAUAUCAAUGUCUGCAAAAAUUCCCACAAUAUAUAGAAAUGGAAAUAAAGAUCCUUAAGUUCUUUGAGAAAAAUCAUAAAUAUAGCCACAAAAUUUCUCCAAUUAUUUGUUACUUAAAAAAGUAUAGAAAUUGUCAACCAAGCUCAACUAACGCCUGUAUGUAUGUACUUAGAACCAAGAGGUCUCGGGUUUAAAUCCCUCUACCCCGAAUUUGUACUCAUAAAAAGAAAAAUACAGAAAUUGUAUGAAUGAGGUGCACAUUCACGUAAUUUAUACGAUGAUGUGAGAAAUGCUAUGAUUGUAAUGGAUGCUCAUAGUUUGGCUCGUAGCAAUAGAAAAGCCCGAAUCUUAUUCUCAAAGUUGAGUCCUUUCUUCAGUGCAAAAAAUGUGGUUUCCUGUCGGCUUGGGGAAAGAUCAAUUGCUGUCUCCACCUUGUUGACAUUUCGCCCUGCAUAAUUAUUGACAACGAGAAAUAAAUAGAAAGGUUAUUCUACCAUUUUUUUGGUUUUAUGAGAACAAAUUCAGAGAGCUAAUUGCAAGCAAUAUUUGAAGUAAAGUUACACCUCCUGCCCCCCAGAUCUUGCAGUAGUCAGUUCAAUGUCCUUCGGAUCAAUCACUACUUCAACUUCAUCUGCCUAGAUGCAAUAAUAACAUAAGCUCAACAAAUCAAGAUAAACAUAGCUGAUCAAGAUGCAAAUGCAACGGAGAACAAAGUCAAAUAAGAGAAAUUAUCAUAUCCAAAUUGUUAACACUCCUACAGAGAAACAGUACGAACACUAUGAAUAUCAACUAUAUAUAAGGAUAACUGUAUAGUAAUGCACUUGGAUUUUCAUGUUAAGGCACUAGUGUGAUAUGACAGAACAUUUUAAUCGGCCACUCCACAUUAAUCCAUCAUCUAGGUAUUUUUAACAGAGAGAUAGCUUUUCACAUUAUAAUUGUUAAUGGCAAAAAUGGAGCACAAUAGCAUAUCAGGGACCUAUAAAGGAAAUGGGGAAAGAAUUAACAUUAGACAACUGUCCAGGACAAACUUAGCAAAUUCAGGUAAUAUUCUACCACACAUUAGUCUGAUUAACGCAUGCAAUUCUUAUUUGACAAGUAUCAGACAGUUCUUAUUUCACAAUUUAUAGUGAACUUAUGGAAUAGUUUACCUCUAGCAUGAUGACUACUGUAGUCGUAGAAGUAUGCAUACGGCCCUGUGUUUCUGUUUGAGGAACACGUUGAACUCAAUGAAAACCAGACUCUUAUUUCGAUUUACUGUAGACACGUUAUCCUUUGAUUUCUGUCACAUAAGUUUCGUGUCCCCCCUUUUCAGCCAGAAAAGUAAACAACGAAAAUUCUUCAAUAUAUAUACAGAAAGCACUAGGAUAUUGACUUCUGGGAUGUCUGGAGGCACAUACCUUAGAACUUGAAACAGGGAAAAACUUCCAUGAAUUCCGCUCACUGUAUUUCUGGUACAUACGGACAUGUUAUAUAAUUGGAAAAAAUGAGUUAGAGAAGAAGAAACGACAAUGUAGAAAAAUGUAUUUGAGAAAAGAAGGGGGUAAAAUCAAAGCAGGACAGGAACGGAAGAGACAUCAGAGUUUGGACUAUGUAACUUGUAAGUUUUACAAAGCCUAACUAUCCUAUUCACUGUUCAAUUUUCUAUACACUUAUAAGGCCUAAAUUGUUGGUAAGAAAAAGAUUGGAGCAUAGGUCACCUCUAAUGGAUUGAUGAGAAAAUUCAAAAUUUAACAUCUUAGUCGUAUCUUUUGAAUAAAAAUAAAAAUAAAGCCCAUCUUAGUUGUAAUUAUGUAAAAAAAAAAAAAAGACAAUUAAUGUGAUUAUUCAUGAAUUGAUUUGGGUGGGCUAUUUCAAGAUAAAAGUACCAAACAAAAGACUAGAAUGGGUUAUUUAGUUAUGUAAUCACAACUGCCAUUUCUCCUCCAUAAGAAAAACAAACAAUUUCUCUAAAUUUCAUCUAUAUAUAUAUAUGUAUUUAUCAAAUGAAUCAUAUCAAUAAGGACGGGAAACAACAAAGAAAAAUUAAAAUGGCCAAUAACUCUUGUCUCAUUAUUAUCUCUCUCGUUGGAGUUCUUUCGUUCACCAUCAUUUCAAAUGUGGCAUCAUCUAAUGACGUCGUUUCCACCAUCUGUCCAAAAACCUCAAAUCCACAAUUUUGUUCAAGUGUGUUGAAAUCUGCAGGCACUACAAAUCUAAAAGGCUUGGCUGUAUACACCUUAAACCUUGCUCAUACAAAUGCUGAAAAAUCUUUGACUCUAGCCAACUCACUGGCAAAAACCGCCACCAAUCCUCAACUUAAGCAACGAUAUUCGUCUUGUGCUGAGAGCUAUGAUGAAGCUAUUGGUGACAUUGAAAAUGCCCAAAAGGACUUGGCACUUGGGGACUUUAAUGGUGUCAAUAUUGUAACUUCUGGUGCCAUGACUAAUAUUGGUGACUGUCAGGAUAAGUUCGCACAGCCGCCUAAGGAUACAUCGUUGCUUUUGAAGAAUGGCAAGACUCUAAAUGAUAUAUGCAGCAUUAUUUUGGUUAUAUCCAAUCUUCUUUGAAGGCUAUGUACUUGAAGAUUUUAAUCAAUAAAUAAAAUGAAGUUUAAUUUUUAAAAUAAUAACAUUACAGUGGGAUGGUGAUCGGAAUUGAUUACUUUGGUUAAAAUUUAAAAUUAGAUAAAAAAAAUCAAUUAAUAGAUAAUUCCAACUAAUCAAAAUAACUAAAUAAAAGACGAGAUUUGAAAAUAUAAUAUCCUAAUAGACACUAAUAGACUUAUAUUAAUAGAUAAUUUCCUGCCGAUGAAAAAUUACUAAAGUUGUACUAUAUUUUAUAAAUAUUUUAAAACAUUACAUAAACACUAAUUAAAGUUGGGUUUAGUAGCAAAAAGUUACAAAUUUAUGGACACCUUCUUUUAGGGAAAAAAAUACAGAGUAAUAUUACCUUGACAUGAUGUAAACUAAAUUUGUAAUCAGCGUUGAAAUCUCUACUAUAUUAAAUGCGCUCGUGGAGAAAAAAAAUUAUAUACAUCUAUUUUAUUCUUAAAUUGUCGAAAAAAAUUUAUAUUACUUUUUGUGAUCUAACGUAGUUGUGACUUUUCUAUUGUAAGUGUCCAUUUUAAUGUUUGGAAAGAAGAUUUUUCCAAUUUUUUAGUUUACAAAAUAAAGUUCUAUAUUUUAAAAAAUAAAACCUUAUGUCGAAUAUGUGUAACUAAUAUUGAUAGGAUGUGACUAGUUGAUCUUCGAGAUACGAUGCAUUCUGUUUAGAGUGGAGAUGGUUGCACACACAUCAAAUUGGUGCAUUGAUUCCUCCAAACUUACAUGUAAAAUGUACGUGUAAAAGAAAAACAAAAUAAACUCUUGCAGUUACACAUUAGAAAAAAAAAACGUCACGAAAUCCCAAAGUUCAAAAGAAAACAAACACACACAAAAGGGGAUUUAAUUGAUUCAAAGUAGUAACGAAUGGUGAAAAAUUGCAUCAUUUCUUGUGAUUUCACAUUGACAUAUUAGAAUAAAAAAUUAUCGUAUUCUAUAUAUUACAAUAUUGGAUCAAAUAUUAAUACAUUAAUUCAAUUAUUUAAUUACUACAACAAUGAAUUUCUUUUUCUUUUUUAAAUAAUAAUUUUACCAUUAAUAUUGUAUAAUAUUUGUUUAUUAUAUGCUAAAGCAUAUUUAAAAAUUAAAUAGAAUUAAGAUAUUUCACGUGAAUAUGUGCACGUGUUUCAAUUGAAAAGAUUGAAACAAUAGUCACAAAUGAUUUUUUCAUAAAACAAAACAUUCGUAACCAAAUCUAAAUAUGCACUUUCAUAAUAAAGGACCAAAACUCAUAUUGCGUAGAAUUGAGCAUGGUUUAAAUGAAAUUAUUAAGAAAAUACUUACACUUUACACCAGGUUUUUUGGCAACAUAUAUAGUGAGAAAACUCAAAAUUUACCCUCUUACUUGUAUCUUUUCAAUAAAAAAGUGCAUCUUAGUUGUAAUUAUGUCAAAAUAAAAUAAAAAAAAAGAACCAGUCAAUUAACAUGGUUAUUCAUUCAUUGAUUUGGGUGAACUUUUUGAAGAUAAAAAUUCCCUAUUCUGGUGGUUGAGGAGCUUUUCGAUGAAUUAAAUGGAGCAAACUGGUUUUCAAAGAUUGAUUUAAAGGCGGGGUUCCAUCAGAUCAAAAUGUGUGGAGAAGACAUCGAAAAAACAGCAUUUCGAACACAUGAUGGACACUAUGAAUUUAUGGUUAUGGCAUUCGGCUUAACUAAUGCCACAUCCACUUUCCAAGCUCUAAUGAACUCAAUAUUUAAACCAUUUUUGCAGAAGUUCAUAUUAGUAUUUUUCGACGACAUACUAAUCUACAGUGAGAACUUGGAAAAUCAUCUGAAGCACAUUGGGUUAGCAUUGGAAAUCCUGAGAAAGAAUGAGUUAUAUGCAAACCAGAAGAAGUGCAGCUUCGCGCAAGAACGUAUUGAUUAUUUGGGUCAUAUCAUUUCAGGACAAGAAGUUGAAGUGAACCCCGAGAAAAUCAGAGCAAUCAGGGAAUGGCCUAUACCCAGUAAUAUAAGAGAGGUACGAGGAUUACUGGCCUCACCUGUUACUAAAGAAAGUUCGUUCAGCACUAUGGCUUCAUUGUCGCACCAUUGACUCAACUACUUAGGAAAGGGGGAUUCCAGUGGACUGAGGAGUCUAAGGAGGCAUUCCAACAACUACAAAAUGCCAUGAUGACCCUGCCCGUUUUGGUGUUGCCUGAUUUCAAUGCCACCUUUGAAAUGGAAACAGAUGCAUCGAGAUAUAGGGUAGGAGUCGUACUCGUCCAAGCCAAGCGCCCCAUAGCAUACUUUAGCCAUACGUUAGCCUUAAGAGAUAGGGCCAAGCCUGUAUAUGAAAGGGAAUUAAUGGCAGUAAUCUUGCCUGUGCAACGAUGGCGACCAUAUCUGUUGGAAAGAAAAUUUAUUGUGAAGACCGAUCAGAAAUCCUUGAAGUUCUUAUUACAACAAAGAGUGAUACAGCUUCAGUAUCAGAAAUGGGUAGCGAAGCUAACGGGAUACUCAUUUGAGGUGGUCUACAAACCCGGCUUGGAGAAUAAAGCAGCAGACGCCUUGUCUUGGAUGCCUCCUACAGUUAACCUCGGUAGCAUAACAGCUCCUACAUUGGUUGACAUUCUGGUGAUUAAAAAGGAAGUCGAAGCGGAUGAAAAGUUGAGCAAAAUAAUGGAAGAACUACAAGCAAUGGAAGAAGGAACAGAGGGUAAAUUCUCCAUCCGACAAGGUAUGUUAAGAUAUAAGGAUAAGUUUGUGCUGUCCAAAACAUCUACAUUGAUACCCACAAUCCUACAUACUUACCAUGAUUCGGUACUUGGAGACCAUUCUGGAUUUUUAUGCACAUACAAACGACCAACUGGUGAGCUAUAUUGGGAAGGAAUGAAGGCGGAUGUUAAGAAGUAUUGUGAGGAAUGUGUAAUAUGUCAGAAGAACAACUCCCUAGCACUAUCCCCCACCGGACUGCUGCUGUCCCUGGACAGUCCAAACAAUAUUUGGAGCGAUAUAUCUAUGGACUUUAUCGAGGGCUUACCAAGAUCGAAUGGUUUCGAAGUCAUCUUUGUAGUGGUGGACAGAUUCAGCAAAUAUAUUUGUUAAGGAGAUUGUCCGACUUCAUGGCUUUCCCAAAUCGAUAGUGUCCGACCGAGAUAAGGUAUUCUUGAGCAACUUUUGGCAAGAAAUGUUCAAAAUGGCAGGCACCCGAUUAAAUCGAAGCACCGCUUAUCACCCUCAGUCGGAUGGGAAAACUGAGGUGGUUAAUAGGGGAGUGGAGACGUAUCUGCGAUGUUUUUGUGGAGAACGGCCUAAGGAAUGGUCAAAAUGGAUACAUUGGGCUGAAUAUUGGUACAACACUACUUUUUAGAGAUCCGUAGGGGUCACUCCAUUUCAGGCUAUCUAUGGACGUAUGCCACCACCAUUGAUGUUUUAUGGUGACCGGGACACUCCAAACACUACCUUAAACGAAUAGCUCAAGGCAUGAGUUGAAAUUCUGGGAGUCCUAAAAGAACACUAAUUCGUCGCACAGACAAGAUGAAAAAUAACGUAGACUUGAAGCGUCAUGAUGUGGAGUAUGCAGUUGGCGAUAUGGUCUUCCUGAAGAUUAGGCCCUAUAGACAGAUCUCAUUACGACAAAAGAAAAAUGAGAAACUAUCCCCCAAGUUCUUUGGGCCUUAUACGAUUGUGGAACGCAUCAUACUGGUUGCGUAUAAGCUAGAGUUGCCAGCAUCAUGUCACGUCCCGCGAAACGACCCCACUUUUUGCGCCAAAAAGUGCUAUAAGACUCCCAAAAGAAUGCCAAAGGGAAGCCAAGCACACUCAAGCAACAACCCGAUCCGGCCAUGUGACAGCCCACAUGUGCCCACGACACAUGCCCAUGACAUUGGCAUGUGCCCACAGAAGGCAGCCCACGAGCCCCGCAUGCAUGUCGUGACACGUGCCCACGACAACCCCAUGUGCGUGUACGGACGCACACCUCAUAGGCGCGGACACCAGACAAGGCGUCAGGCACCAACGCCACCCAGACAACCCAUGUGCACCGACAGCUGCACAUGGCACGGCGGCCAACCCACCAGGCGCGCACACAGGCGCCCACGCCCAUCAGACGGCCGCCCAUGCCAGACACGGCAUGGCGCGCGCGGCCCCAUGCGCGCGUGCCCAGCAUGCGCACGACCAUGCGCGUGCGACCCUGCAUCCGCACGCCCCACGCCCCGAAGCGCCGAGAAGCUUCCAGAAGAAUGGGGAAGGCGCGCGACACUUCGCGAGGCGCGCGCCCAGCGCCGCGAAGAAGGACACCGCGCGCGCGCGCAGAAGGCCCCAGACACGCCCCUGUGCGUGCUGCUCCGCCCAUGCUCGGUCUAGACAGCCCCAGAAGCUUCUAGAACGCCCGAGACAGUACCAGAAUGUGCCAGAAUGGUCUGGACACGCCCGAGAAGGCCCUGGAACAUGCUGGAACGUGCUGGACAAAGCUAGAACGUGCUAGAAGGCUACAAUGACGGUCUGGAAGUGUCAUGAAAGGUCUAGUCCUCUCUAGAAUGUUCUAGGCUUCCUUGUAAUGUACUAAACCCUCUUGUAUCAUCUAGAAUAUUCCUUGGCCGACCUUAUGAGGCCUAGGUCGGUUUGGCAAGGUUAUAAAUACUUGUAAGGGCCCUCAUUUGUAAAGAAGAAGGAAACCAAUAAGAGAAAGGGUUCUCUUAAGCUCUCUCAACUUCUCACUCACUCUCUUGCCAACCCAUUGUGAUUUCUAAGUGCCUUAGGUGCACUAAUCAUCUUCCGCUGCAUUAUCAUUGAGGUUAUUCAUAGUGCUUGGUGCACUAACCUCUUGUUAAGGCUUACUUGGCUAACGGGGACGACAUAGUCAAGCCAAGUGCCGCACGGUUGGUUAGCUUCAGAUCCUAACCACGUGACAGGUGGUAUCAGAGCGUGUUCGUUCGGAGGGACAUACUCUUAAUCGUUGGUAUCAAGUACACGAUACCGAGGGACCGGGAUUCAAGACCCCUAGUUCUUGAAACGUUGUCGAGGUGUAUCGGAACAACGGUGUGAGGACCUAGGUACGCCUUAUCGCUUUACCCUAUUUAUUGACUCGAAUGGGAUCCAGGGAAGGAUACGAGUCACCGAUUGAGCAAGUCGUUGAAGGGCCAACGACACGUGGACGUGCUGCACAACGUUCCCCAUCCCGACAGAACAAGGCAACAACAUCGACAACUCGGGAUGUUGUCGAAGAACGAUUUGCGACCUUGGAGGGAAAAUUGGAGGAAGUGCAGGAGAAAUUAGGCGAGACGAGCGAGUUGAUGGAGGAGCUACUUGUGGAUCAUGCCGAGGUCUCAAAAAUCACUAAGGCUAUGAUUGAAGAACUUAGAGGCUCUCAUGGCAAGGACAUCCACGACCUCAUUGUGGAGGUAACCAACAUGCGCAAGUUCAUGGAAGAGGAGCUCCAUGCAUUGCGUAAGGACGUCGACGAGGUACGUGCCGAAUGUCUAUCUAGACAUAAUACUAAAUGAAAAGUGGUUCUACAGAUUCAAAGAAGGCAAUAGAAAUCACUCAUUUUAAUAUCAUUUAAUAUUUCAUCAACAACCUAUAGAGUUUAUUAAUCUUUUUCUUUCCUACUAAAGAAGCUCUAAUUUAUUACUCUAGGAAUGGUCCUUUCUAACUUAUAUACAGGUAACAAAAAAUAAAUUGAAGAAAUACUCUGAGCUUUUCCAUUUAGAAAUCCCAAUGAGCAAAGACUAAAGUCUUCCCGGGAUUCUUAGGAUGCCAAACUCCUCUCAUUGGAUAGACAUCAAUAUAUCUUAGAUGAGAAGCUACCUUGAAUAGCCUUGCUUCCUCAGCAUAUAAACAUAAAUAUAUUUGUUGUAUUCAAUCAAAAAUAAAAGAUAAGCUUGUUCUGAAACCAAUUCCAAAAAUCUCUUCGAAAAUAUGCUGGGAGAGUUGUUGUUGUUUAAAUACUUGGUCCUUCGAAGGUUGGAAUUACAAUGUAACUUUUCACAUAUUCAUGAAAAGUUAUGAUUCUUAUUAUGAAAGAAUGAAACUUCGAACUAGUUCCUAAAGGUAGUACUUUUAGCUGAUGUGGCAAUUUGGAUCAGCCAUGUACGGUUGCAUUCCUCAAUGUGAGUGAUAAUCAAACCCAAACUACCUCAAAGGAAUUAUUUUGUACAGUAACUCCAUCUUUACCAACUUGCGACAUAAAACUAUCUAGGGUUCAUGGGUUGGGGUAAGAAAACUUUUGGACCCAACCCACCAAGUCUUUUUAUCAUUAAGUUUUCUUCAUUUUUAUGUCAAUUGGCAUGUAUUUUAUAAGCUUUGAGAGAAGAAACUUAAUAUAAAUGUAUACUUGGUCAGAACCCCGUCAUUUAGCCUCAAUUUUCACAAUGUAGAGGUAUAGAAUUCAGAGAGGUUAUUUUAUUUUCUUAAAAUUACUCCCCAACUGUUAAUCUAUGAUUAACUUUUGCUAUAAAAAAUUAGUCCUUAUAUCCCUCUUCUAGAAAUUUGACAAACAUAUUAAUCAGGCGCCUUUUUCUGAAAAAUAAUUGUUCAUAUAUUUUUUUUUGAAACAGAGACAACCCUUUUUAUUAAAGAUGUAAGUAAAAAAGAGACUAAUGCUCAAACUAUAGGAGAAUUAUACUAAGAGCGAAAAGAAUGACCAAAACAAAAGUACAGACAAAUUGAACAAAACAAUCAAAAUCCUGAGAAAACAAUAGAAAACUGAGAACAAAGCGAACUUAAAACCUUUCAACAAGAAGCCCAAAAUCAGCUGAAAAUUGCAGACUAAAAACUUCAAACUAGAUGGAAGGAAACACCAAGGGAGAGCUAACAACAAUGCAGCUUUGUUGAAAAAAAUAUCCCUCCCAAGUCAUCCUUCGAUCUUGAGUGAGUGACUAGAACCAGAAUAUUUCAUAAGAACUUUAGAGGGCCAAAAUAAUAAAAGCAUUCGUCGAACCUCAUGUGAUCCACUAAAACAAACCUAAAAGAUAAUUGGCUGAAAAACCAAGAUCAAGUUAUUCUAUACUCAAACCAAAGUAGUUCCACAUUGCUCAACAAUUGACUUCAAGCGAUCUGGAACUUCACAUUGUCGAGCUUGUGAGGGAAAUAAAGAGACUUGUUUCUCAGUAAUUAAAUCCUCCCUUGUCUGAAAGCGGUAUUAAGAUCAGAUUCUAGAGGAUCCUUAAUCGACUGAUCAAUGUUUACAAUGAGUAGUGGAGGCACUUUUGAUUCAGAUUUUACCGAAGGAGCUCAAGGUAUCGUGCAAUGUGAUCGAUUUUCUUGGGACACAUAAAUAAAUCUAACGCCAAUUGAAACAUAAGGACUAGUAUUUGGAGCAUGAUAUUUCUUCCUAUCUCUACAUGUAAAGAUCACAAGAAAAAUAAGAAUUUCACAAAAUAACAGAAAACAAAAUUAGACAAAAUCAGGGCAUGGCCGAGGAUGAGAUUAGAGAUGAAGCGAUGAUUAGUAUUUAUUGAAAAUGGGAGAAAAGUAGAAUGUCAAACCAAUCCAAGAACAUACCUCACAAAUCUUCGGAUAGACGAUCGUGGUCAAAGCAGUGGUUAUGGUCGAGGAUGAGAUUAGGGAUGAAAGGAUGUUACGAAAGGUAUAUCAACAAGAAGAAUAAACAAAUUUAAAAGGUAAAAUAUGUGAACUUAAAUUGAAAGUUAUAUUGAAAGGUUUGUAGUUUAGAUACCUCUUUUCACGUUUGGUUCAUGCACCUCUUCCUCCUUUUCCCCAUACCUAAAUUGAAUGGUUUGUAUCUUAGAGACCUUUCAUCUUACUUCUUCUAAUUUUAACCAAUUUCGAUCAUUAUAUAUUUUGAAGUUCUUAUAAAUGGUCUCAUGUAUUGAUUAAGGAGAGAAGAGAUUGGUAUGGUAGAUAUAUAAUAACACUUAUCUUCUUUCAUAUAAAAUUUUUAAGUGCAUUCUUAAAGACAAAACUACAUGUUAGAAAGUCUUCAAUUAUUAUGCCUUAGCAUUUUUUACUCGUUUAUAAAUAGAAGAAAACCAAUGUUAUAUGGAAGUCCAGUUUGCAUAUCAACUAAAAGUUAAGGAAGGGUUGUAUGUUUUUAGUGUUAUUUGAUCCAAAGAACCCCAAAAUAUACAUUCAAAUGAGAGCAAAGUAAUAAAUAUUAUAUAGUUGUGUGUGAGAUAAGAGAAGAGCAACAAAAAAGAGUAAAACAUAGAAAGCAUUGGGAGUUGAAAUAAAAUAUUUGAUAAAACUACAAAGUAAGCAGAUUGAACUGAUACAAGAACCGACAUGUCGUUCCAAAAGGAUUACAAAAAACACAUCAUAAUCAUAUCGCAAGAUGCAAAGCAUUUAUUCAAUCUCCAUAAUAAUAUCUACAAAGGGCUACGCCAAAACACUUCAAAGCUCAAACAAAAAAACCAUUUUAAAAUAUUACACACACCAAUAACCAACAUGUCGAACAGAACACUUUACGUUACGUUCAUACCAUCUGACUGAACUUCUGCUCAUUCAACGACAUGUCGUCCAUCAUCCAAACAUCCAAAUCAACUCGUUCGAACUCCCCAUUUCCACCGAGUUCACUCGCUUGUUGCUCCUCGCUAUCCAGACCCAAGAACGAUCUCAAACUCGCCAACUCCUCGCCGUAGUACAACUCCUCGCUGUCACACGAACUAUCCGCACGUGUACACGGAGGCGAACCGGUGGUGUUCAAGCCACUCGGAGUAAACUCGGGGACGACGCACUGCAUUUUUACCGGAGUUUGACGCUGAGCCGCGAGCGACGGCGGCGCUGGAGCAAAGUUGAGCUUCGCCUUUUCUCCUCGGAUCCGCUUGGCAGCUUCAUCGUAUGCUCUGGCCGCUUCCUCCGCGGUGUUGAAAGUGCCGAGCCAAACUCGAACUCCUUUUCGUGGGUCCCGAAUCUCCGCCGCCCAUUUUCCCCACGGCCGUUGCCGGAUUCCUCUGUAUAUAUUCUUCCGAGCUUUUCGAGUCUUCUCCACCGCCACCGCCUCCGCCGCCGUAGAUCGGUUUCUUUUCUUAGGCGUCUCAGUUUUCACUACAAAUCAGUCACACUUCAUAUACCCAUGACCAUUGAAAUUUUCAUUCCCUUCUCUAAUAUUUUAUUUUAAAAGACUAUAGCUAAACUAGAAGCAAUAAAUGAAUAGAAGUAGCGAGACUAAGAAUCGUAUUACUUUUAAAGUUAAUUGAAUAAAAUAUAAACAAAUCGAUCUUCAUCGUUAUUCCUUCCUUGCAAAUACGUAGAAUAAUAUAAUAUAGAGAGAACUUUUAGGAAUCAAACGAAAUGAAAACAAUUAUAAAAAAUGGAGAAUGGGAAGAACAUGAACGUACCAGAGGAAUAAUUGAGGCCGAGGAGAUCGGAGAAAGGGUCGAUAUGGGACCAAAGAGAUUCAUUUGUUAAGCUUACAAUAACGAGUUCGGCUUUUUCUCUAUAAAAUCAGAGAUAAUGGCACCACCGCACAUUUUUCUCUCUAAUAUAAUUCCUCCAACGUAAUAAAGAGGUUUUGGAGAACCCUUCAUACAAUGUUAUUUAUAGACGAUCUUAAUGGGCCUUCAUUUUGGGCCCUACAAUGGUGCCUGCUUAUUGGGCUUACUACCAGGUCCACUACACAUAAUCACACUUUAACGGGUAAUGAUGAGAGAAAUAAUAAUUAAAGAUAUAGCAAGUUUUAAAAAAAUUGCAAAUAUAGUACGGCUAUCGUUGAUAGAUUUGUAUGACUGAUAGACUCAUAUGAUUUAUCGGUGAUAGACCAAUUUUUAUAACAUGGUCUAUCAAUGAUAGAGUCUAUCAUCCAUAGAAUUUGACAAAUUUUGCUUUAUUUAUAAAUUUUUAAAAAAGUUGCUAUAUAGUUAAUUAUUUUAAAUUUAAUUACUAAAUUUGCAACUAUCUCUUUUAUUUUUCCUCUCUUUUUAUAGGUUCAAAUAGUGUUUUUUAUGUUUUUUAUGUUUUUUUUGUUUUACUUUUACAAAUUCACAACAUACCUACCAAAUCAAACUUCAUAGAAUAAAUAAACGAAUACGUAAACUUAUCUGUCUUUUUUUCCUCACAUAUUUUUAAAAGACUACGUAAAACUUGUCGAUCUUCACUGACAAAUUUAAAAGGUAAAAUAUGUGAACUUAUCGAUUCUACUAUCAUAUUUACGUAAGAGCCAUUAGGACUAAUAGAGGCACGUGCUCUCUUCACACUAUAGAUUUUUGUAUUUUAAUAUUAAUUUGGAAAUAUUAGACUUGAAGUCACGACUUGAUGGUUAUGCCCAGUCUCACAAUUACGAGGAGGUGACUUCAAGUUCACAUUUUUUAUCUUUUAUUUUUGUUAAGAAUGAAAACCUAAUAAAUAUACAAAUCAAACCCUUCAUUUUUUUUGAAUGAGUUAUAAAUUAAAGAAUAUAUAUAUUAAAAGAUAAAUAUGAAAAACUAAAUGCUCAAACAUCACCGUGAACAUUUUGAAAGUUGCAAGAAAAAGAUAGUGAAUAUCUCACUAAAAUGAAAAUUACUAAAUUUAAAUUUUAAAAUAACAAAAUUUAUUUGAAUAACUUAAGAUUUUUUUUAUAAUAAUACUCUGCUAAAUCAACAAUAUACAUAUAUAUUUGUAUAACUAAAAAUAAAUACUUAACAGUUUAAACUUUAUAAUAAUUUAGUUUUCAAUCAUAAAAGUACUCCAAUAAAGAAGGAUCAACACGGCAUUACAAGAAAUGUGUUUUUAGGAGAAUAGGCAAAUAGAUUAGAGCAUUCCAACAUGUUGAAGGAACCAAUAAUAUGGUUGGGUGUAGCCUUCACUUUACUACUAUAUUUAAUAACUCUCCUUCCAUUGGUAACUUCAACAACAUUGAAGUUAACAUCUUCUUGCACUUUCUCUUUGAAACCCAACAAAAUUCCUAAAACAUGAGUGUAUAUGACAAAAACUAAUUAGGGUGCAGAUUAAACUAUCAAAAUUGAUUUAUUAUCUCUUUUCAUAAUACAUACUUUCUUCGAAAAAGUAAUUAAAUAGGGUUGAUUUGAAGAAUGCUAUUAAUCACAAUUGUUGUAAAUAAAAACGGUAAUUAUGAAAGAAAAGGAAGCAUCAUGAAUAGAUUCUUUACUUUAUGACGGUGGCCGUACAGUCUGGCGGUUUUGAAAGGCGUGAAAAGGCUGUUUCUUUCUUACAAAAGCGGGGGACGUAUCUUUACACGUGGCACCAUUUAAAUGGUUUUAUGGGAUGAACGUACGUCGGUAUAAUUAUUUUAAUAUUUCUUUUAAACAGUUCGUGGGAGGAAGCAAAAUGGUAUUUUAUUUAUUUAUUUUUGCAUAUUUUAACCUUUUUUUCUUUUAGUUAAUAAUAAUUAUUAAUUAACUAAUUAAAGCAUAUGCAUAUGUAGUCUUAUGAAAUCAGACAUCUCGUCUACAAAAUAUAAAUUGAACAUGAACACGUUAAUAAUAGUAAGAGAUAAAAGUUUGUAUCGAGUUUGAUGUUAUAAUUAAAAUAACACAAUUGCUAAAAUAUAAAAUAGGCAUCAGAUAUAAUUGAGUAAGAAGAGGUUGAAGGAAGAUGAGAAAAGUGUGGCAGUGGACAACUUGAUGAACUCAUGACAUAAUCAUAUCCUUUGAAACUGUGAAACCAAGAAAAUAAGAUGAUGAGUUGCAUUAGCAACAGCUGCCUUUAAGUUUUAUUUGUUUGUUUGUUUACUAUUAUUAUUAUUUGGGAGUAUACGAAAGAAAGACAAAAAAGUCACCAAUAGAACACUUCGACUAUGCUUUCAGAAAGAAUGUGUUUGAUGUUAAUCCAUUUAUUUUUUAUAUCUUUACAUUAUGUUUCAUUUUCAUAUUCUAUUAUUAAGAACAAUUAAAUUUUCAAUGGGUUAAUUUUUAAAGUUUUAUAAACUUAAACUUAAAAAAUUGUCAAACCUGUUGGGCUUAUUUCACCCUUGAAGUCCAGCCCAUUAGGUCAACUUUACUAUGAAAUUAACUAAUGUACAAUGCAAUUAAAAAGAAAAGUAGUAAAGUAGUGACGGUAAGACAGUGAAAAAAGAAAGAAAAAUAAAAUAAAUGUGAUUCGUAUUUCAGUCUUUUGGGGAUCGAUUGGUGGUCCAAUCAAGCUGAAAUUUUGACUGGUGUAUUCUUGGCACGAGGUUCUUCAUUCUGGAUAGUGGAGAUUUUGUUUGGAGCUAUCUACAAUUAGAUUCUAGUUGAUAGUUGACUACCACAUAUUGUGAGAUUUUUCCUUUUUUCUUUCAUUGUCAUUUUGUUUGUUGUCGGGAUUGUUAUUCUCGAGAUACUUGCCUCUAGUUGUGACUAGGGAGAACUUUGUUGUACCCAUUAAAGAUUAUAGUGAAGAUUUUGACUUCGGUCCGUGGUUUUUUACUCCUCACGUUAUACUUUGAUUAUUAUUAUUAUUAUUGAGUAGUGUUCUAUGAGGUUCACACAAGAGUGUGAUAAUUGAUCCAAGGCGAAGGUGUUUAUCCCAACAAAGUGAUUAAUUGGGAUUUAAUUGGAAUUGCCUUGUGUUGAAUAUUGAUACUAGCUCAGCUAAGAUGGUUACCCUUAAUGGGUCAAAUUAUCAAGUAUCGAAAAGAAAAAUGGAAGACAUUGUUUGUAAAUGACUUGCACCUUCCUGUUUUUUCUGAUGAGAAGCCUGACGACAAAACUGAUAAAGAAUGGGAAUUAUGUCAUAGGAAAGUGUGUGGGUUUAUGAGGCUAUGGGUAGAAGAUAACUUUCUAAACCAUAUUUGUGAAGAAACUCAUGCGCGAACUAUGUGGAAUAAACUUGAAUCGCUAUGUGCCCCUAAAACUCGUAAUAAUAAAAUGUUUUUUAUUAAACAGAUGAUGGAGUUAAAGUAUCAAGAUGGAGCGCCUAUGUUAGAUCACUUGAAUACAUUUCAAGGUAUUUUGAAUCAACUAUCUAGAAUGAAUAUCAAGUUUGAGGAUGAGAUACAUGGGUUAUGGGUGCUUGGUACAUUGUCGGACUCGUGGAAAAUAUUUAGAACUUUCUUAUCGAACUCAGCCUCAAAUGGUGUACUAAGUAUGGACCUAGUAAAAAGUAACGUGUUGAACAAGGAGAUGAGAAGAAAGUCUCAAAGUUCUUCUUCACAAUCAGAUGUUAUGGUUACUGAAAAGAGGGGGAGGAGUAAAAGUAAGAGUCCGAGAGGUAAUAACAGAAGCAAAAGCAGGAGUGACCAGUUUGCAAAUGUUGAGUGUCACUAUUGCCAUGAAGAAGGCAUAUAAAGAAGUAUUGUCGAAAAUUGAAAAGAGACAGUAAAAAUCAUAAGGGCAAGGAAAAGAAUAAUGAUGAUGAUAGUGAUGCUGAUACAAUCACUGUAGCCACUGAAGAUUUUUACAUCUUGUUUGAUGGUGAUGUUGUAAAUUUGCGACACAACAUAGCAGUUGGGUGAUUGAUAGUGGUGCAUCAGUUUGUGCUACUUCGAAAAGGGAAUUUUUUGCAUCCUAUACUCCUGGUGAUUUUGGCAGUGUUAGGAUGGGUAAUGACGGAUCAACAAAUAUAGUUGGCAUCGAAGAUGUACACUUGAAGAACAGAAAUGGUUCUAGGCUGAUUUUGAAAAAUGUGAAACAUAUUCCUGAUAUUCGCAUGAACUUGAUUUCUACAGGUAAGCUUGAUGAUGAAGGUUUCUGCAAUACCUUCGACAAUGACAUAUGGAAGCACUAAAGGUUCAAUGGUUAUACCAAAGGGACAAAAAUUUUCUUCACUGUACUACAUGGAUGCAAAAAUCAUGGAGUCUGAUAUAAAUACAGUGAAUGAUGAAGCAAAUGUUGAGCUUUGGCAUAAGAGACUUAGCCAUAUAAGUGAGAAGGGUUUAAAGAUUUUAACCAAGAAAAAUCAUCUUCCUGAUUUAAAGAGUACGCCUCUAAAACGAUGUCUUCAUUGUUUGGCAGGAAAGCAUACGAGAGUUACCUUUAAAUCAUCUCAACAUUUAAGGAAGCCAAAUUUACUAAAGUUAGUACAUUCUGAUGUGUGUGGUCCCAUGAAAACAAAGUCUCUUGGGGUUGCUUUGUAUUUUGUGACAUUUACUGAUGAUCAUUCAAGGAAAAUAUGGGUUUACACCUUGAAGACUAAAGAUCAAGUGUUGCAAGCGUUUAAACAGUUUCAUGCUUUUGUUGAGAGAAAAACUGGUGAAAAGCUCAAGUGUGUUAGAACUGAUAGUGGAUGUGAGUAUUGUGGACCUUUUGAUGAAUAUUGUAGAAAUCAUGACAUUCGACAUCAAAAGGCACCUCCUAAGACCCCGCAGUUAAAUGGAAUUGCUGAAAGAUUGAACAAAACAUUGGUUGAGAGAGUGAGAUGCUUAUUAUCUAAAUCACAGUUGCCACAAUCAUUUUGGGGUGAAGCUUUAAAUACAGUUGUAUAUGUUUUCAAUCUCACACCAUGUGUUCCUUUGGGAUCAGAAGUUCCAAAAAUAAUAUGGUCAGGUAAGGAUAUAUCUUACAGUCACCUACGUGUCUUUGGCUGUAAAGCUUUUGUUCAUGUACCUAAAGAUGAGAGAUCAAAGCUUGAUGCAAAAACCAAAGCAUGUGUGUUUCUUGGUUAUGGCCAAGAUGAGUUUGGUUAUAGAUUAUAUGAUCCAACUAAGAAAAAGCUUAUAAGAAGUCGAGAUGUUGUAUUUGUUGAAGACUAAACAAUAGCAGACAUUGAGAAAAUAGAUGAACCAAAGUCUAAGCAUAGUGAUAAUCUAAUUGAUUUGAGUUCAACCUCUUUGACACAACAUUCUACACAGAUAGAAGAUGAGGUUCAAAAUGAACAGUUUUCUGAUACAUAUGAGAGUUUAAGCAGGUUGGGACAGAGGAUAGUGUUCAAGAACAGUUAGCUGAAACAGUUGUUCCUACAGAUGUUUCGCUCAGGAGAUCUAUCAGAGAUCGACGUCCGUCAACAAGAUAUUCACCUAAUGAAUCUUUGCUAUUGACUGACGGGUGAGAACCUGAGAGUUAUGAAGAGGCUAUAGAGGAUGAGCACAAAAAUGAGUGGAACGAUGCAAUGAAAGAUGAGAUGGAAUCUUUACAUGCAAACCACACCUUUGAGCUUGUUAAGUUGCCUAAAGAAAAAACUGCACUAAAAAAUAAGUGGAUUUACAAAAUUAAACAUGAAGAACAUACCUCAAAGCCACGUUACAAAGCAAGAUUGGUUGUCAAAGGGUUCAGUCAAAAGAAAGGUAUCGACUUUGAUGAAAUUUUUGCUCCAGUUGUCAAGAUGUCCUCCAUACGUGUUGUUCUGGGUUUGGCAGCCAGUCUUGACUUAGAGGUUGAGCAGAUGGAUGUUAAAACUGCUUUUCUUCAUGGGGAUUUAGACAAAGAAAUCUAUAUGGAACAACCAAAGGGUUUUGAGUAGAAAGGAAAAGGGCAUCUGAUGUGUAAAUUGAAGAAAAGUCUCUAUGGAUUGAAACAGGCACCGAGACAGUGGUACAAGAAGUUUAAGUCAGUUAUGGGAGAGAAGGCUAUAGAAAAACUACUUCUGCUCACUGUGUUUUUGUCCAGAAAUUUUAUAAUGAUGAUUUUGUUAUAUUAUUAAUCUACGUUUAUGACAUUUUGAUUGUUGGUAGGAAUGUUUCGAGAAUGGAUAACUUGAAGAAACAAUUGAGCAAAUCAUUUGCCAUGAAGGUUUUGGGACCAGCAAAGAAAGUUCUUGGAAUUCGAAUAGUUUGAGAUAAAGCAUCCAAGAAGUUAUACAUGUCACAGGAGCAAUACAUAGAGAAAGUACUUGAACGUUUCAAGAUGAGUCAAUCAAAAUUAGUUAGUUCUCCUUUACCCAGUCACUUCAAACUGAUCAGUAAACAAAGCCCUUCUACAGAUAAAGUUUAGGGUUUAGGGUUUAGAAAAGGAGGAUAUGAGUAAGGUCCCGUAUGCUUCAGCAGUUGGAAGCCUAAUGUAUGUCAUGGUAUGUACUAGACCUGAUAUUGCUCAUGCUGUUGGAGUUGUUAGUCGUUUUAUGUUCAAUCUAGGAAAACAACGUUGGGAGGCAGUCAAGUGCAUCAUGAGAUAUUUGAGAGGUACUUCCAUUUUGAAGCUCACAUUUGAGGAUGGAAAGCCAGUACUUGCUGGGUAUACUGAUUCAGAUAUGGCAGGGGACUUAGACAGCAGAAAGUCUACUUUUGGUUACUUGAUGACAUUUGCAGGUGGUGCAGUGUCCUGGCAGUCAAGGUUGCAGAAAUGUGUUGCCCUUUCUACAAAGAGAUGUUGUGGAUGAAGUGCUUUGUACAAGAGUUUGACUUCAAGCAACAACACUGUGACAAUCAGAGUGUUAUUCACCUUGGUAAGAAUGCUUCAUUUCAUUCCAGAACAAAGCAUAUUGAUGUGAGAUAUCACUAGCUUAGAGAUGCUUUAAAUGAUGAAUUGUUUGAGCUUGAGAAGAUACACACGGAUCAUAAUGGAUCUAAUAUGUUGACAAAGAAUCUACCAAGUCGAAGCUUGAGUUUUGUCGUUUCACGGUGGGAAUGACAAAUUCAUUCUCAAAGUGAAAUAGGAGGAGAUUUGUUGGGCUUAUUUCACUUGAAGCUCAGCCCAUUAGGUUAAUUUUAUUAUGAAAUUAACUAAUGAACAAUACAAUGAAAAAGAAAAGUAGUGAUGGCAAGAUGGCAAGAUGGUGGGAAAAGAAAGAAACAUAAAAUAAAUGUGGUUCGUAUUUCAGCCUUUUAGAGAUCGAUUCUUGGUCCAAUCAAGCUGAAAUUUUGACCGUGUAUUCUUGGCACGAGGUUCUUCAUUCUGGACGGUGGAGACUUUGUUUGGAGCUAUCUACGGUUAGAUUCUGGUUGAUAGUUGGCUACCACAUAUUGUGAGAUUUUUCAUUUUUUCUUUCAUUGUCAUUGUUGUUUGUUGCCGGGAUUGUUAUUCUCGAGAUACUUGCCUCUAGUUGUGACUAUGGAGAACUUUGUUGUACCCAUUAAAGAUUAUAGUGAAGAUUUUGACUUCGGUCCGUGGUUUUUCACUCCUCACGUUGAGGGGAUUUUUCCACGUGUCCAUAUACUUUUAUUAUUAUUAUUAUUAUUAAUAAUUGAUCCAAGGUGAAGGUGUUUAUCCCAACAAAACGACACAAAAAUAGCUAUAAAACAAAACAAUGAGAGAGUGAAGAUAUAGCAAUAAAAGGACAGUGAUAAAAAAACAACAAAAAUGAUGUAGAUUAAAAAAUGAACCAUACUCUUUUCAAAUUUAAUUUGAACUCUUCAAAAAUUAAGAUAUGGACAUAAUAUCAAAAUCCUAAUUGUUCAUAGAUCAUUCAAAUACAAAACUAAAUGAUUGAAUUAUUAGUUAAAUUUCAUCAUAUCAAUUGGUAAUUAAUGAGAGUUCACAUCCAAGGAACAGUUCAAUCAUUCCCUAUGGCUUCUUUUUAAUCUCUGGACCUAUUGCUAAUGAAAUAAAGAAAAUCCAGAUACAACUUACUAAAUAUUUCUAUUCAAUUCAUUUAGAUGCUACAUUUAUAUAUAUAUAUAUAUAUGAUUCCUUGAUCUAAAUGCAUUGAGGACUGACAUAAAACUCAUACUUGAUGAAUAUUUGGAAUGUUGAUAAGUAAAGAUUCUAAACUCUCCUAGAUUCGUCAUGCAUUAAGGAGUCGAUAAACCUUCACAUUUUAAAGCAUCCAUCAACCAAUGUUGCUCUGAUUAAACUGGACUGGAUUUGUCAAGAGAUCUCCAACACCACUUUGAGCUCUAUUUUGACAAUCUAUGGAGGGUGGUGGAUGCAUUGGAUCACUCUACUCUUGACUCCAGUUCUAUGUCUAAAUCAGCUCCCACAUCAACUUGCCCAGUUUCUCAGUGUCUACCAUACCGUGAAGGACUACGAUUGUUUUGUUGUGUAACAUUAUGCCUAAACUGUGGUCUUGGGAUGACCUUUCCAUCAAUAAACAAAUCACCUGAAAUUAACAUGAAUGAUUCAUACAAGCAAAACGAGCAUUUGACUUGAGAUAACAACUGAUUUCAAUUUAUAUCAAUUUGAUCAAGUUGAAAUGGGAUCACCUCCGUAAUCUUUGUUCGGAACAUCUUGAUAUGAAUCUGGAAAAACCCAUCGAACACCUGGCAAUUCUGUUUCAUACGGAAUGAAAAAGCUCAAAUCAGUUGCCAAUUCUAUAUUUUACAUAAGCUAAAGCGAAAUUAUCAAUAACUAACGAAAAUCACAAAUGUGAAACCUUCACAGUUGUAACACAAGAACAUUCAAACUAAAACCAGGUCAAUUCUGAAGCAAACUUGGAAAUAGAAAGAAAAAGAUCACAAGCCAUUCAAAUAUUAUCUAGGAAGUUGCAUCAAACGAAUUGCGUGGUUGAGCUAAAAAAGUACUCUUUCUAUCUUUAAAUUUAAUCCAAACACUAGCUAGUAGACACAUUUCCAAUAUCUAUAAGAUGAAAAAAAAAUUGAUUCACAUCACAAGACUCAUUAGUGUUGUCAAACAUUCAUGGUGGUAACACACAUAUUAUCAAACAAAAACUCAAGUCCAUUCUACAGCAAACUUCAAAAUAAUUGGGAAAAUUUCUUAGCGCUGUAUUGGGUUUUGAAAACUAAGUUUAUAAACGGUAUCAUUCUUUGUUUGCUAUCUACUUUUAAUAGUGUUUUCAAAAUGCAUAGUUUUGGCAACUAAUUAAAGUAGUUUCUUAAAAUACUUGUUCUACGUUUUAGAAUUUGGCUGAAAAUUCAAAUUCAAAUGGUAACCAUGGUAGUAAAAACAAACAUAACUUCAAAAAACAAAAUGGUUACGAAAUGGAUGCUUUUAUCUUGUUUUGUGAGAACUUUCAUCAAACACACUGCACGCUUGAGCUCAAAAGUACACUUUGAAUGUUCACAUUUAAUCCAAAUAAUCAACACAAUGCAAUAGAUACAUGAUGAAUCAAGGUUACUUAUUCUAAUCACAACACGAAUAAGCAAAAAAACAAUGAAGUAUUACCUUUCAUUUUCCGAGAAAGCUCUUCCGAAAUCAAUGCACCAAAUCCAGUAUACGUGGUAGUACAAACUGAGUAUAUUUUCUCCUUCGCCUCUUCCUCACUGAAAAAUCAGAAGAAAGCAAAAAUCCUAAAAUAACUAAAGAAUAAAAUCCGUGUUAAAACGAUUUGUCUUCAAUCCGAUACCUUCCGACAACAGCGGCCAGAGUUUUGACAUAAGAAUUAACCAUCUCUUCCUCCGAUGGUUUCGGGUCAUUAGGAAAAUCCAGCACUAUCAGCCAGUGCUCGUAAUCGCAGCCAUCGUAGGGUAUUGAAUCUUUUGGAGGUCGCUUGCUCGAAUUAGGAGAAGGAUCGUUGAGUAGAGAGGAUUCGGAUUCCGAAGCCUUGCAUCGAAUAGGAAGAUUAAAUGAAUUAGGGGUUAUUUGAACCUGUCUGUUGAGGAGAGGAAAAGCGAAACGCAGGCGAGAAGAAAUAGGAGAUGGAAGUAAGAAGGAAGAAGAAGAUGAUGAAGAUGAAGAGAGGCUUCGGCUAAGAACAGUGAAUAAUGUGCGCCGAGUGGCUGAGGACGCCAUUGUUGAAAGCAGUAGGGUCUCUGAUGAGUUGGGAUUUAAGAGAGGUCUGGGAAAAUGAAGGAAAGUACACUAUACGUCGUCGUUUUCGACAUAUAAAACUGUUCUUCUCUUACAAAAUCUCUCUCAAUUUUCAAAAUAAAAACGUUCAUAUUCGUUAAUUCAAGAUAUUUACACAAAUUUAAAGUUACAAAAAUAUUUUUAAAAUGUAAAAAGGGAAUUUAGAAUUAAUUUUGGAUCUACUAAAUCAUGAAAUUAUUCAUUUUGAAAAAUGGUAAUAUAAAAAAAUGUAUAGAGAGUAAAAAGUUAUUCUACUAUAAAGCAAAUUAUUGAGAUAAAAGUUUGCUAACCAUUAAAAUUCCAAGGGAUAAAUGCUUCUUUGUUUUGUUCAGUAAAACACUACUUUCCUUUAAAAGCUUUUAAAUUCUAUCAUCUGAAGCCAUGGUCCAAAAAUUUGACAAGUCAAAAAUAAAUUAUAAAGUUUAUCACUAAUAAAUUUUUAGCAAAAAGUCCGCCCAAUUUCUUAAGUUCCUGCUUUCAGAACAACCCGAAAGUGAAGAUGGCGAAGAUUCAGAAUCGAACCAUAAUUUUUUCAAAUUUAUAGUUUGAAUCAUUAAAAAAUUCAGAUAUUGUCACAACAUCACUAACUUAGAAUCUUUAAAAUCAAAGUCCCCAGAAUUCAUAGAUCAUAUAAACUAAAAAAUAUAUAUACACAUUUUUUAAAAAGCAUCCAUCAAUCAGUGUUGCUCCGAUUAAACUCGCCUGGAUUUGUCGAGAAAUCUCCAAUACCACUUUGAACUCUAUUUUGACCAUCCAUGGAGGGUGGUGGCUGCAUUGGAUCACUCUGAUUUUGACCCCAGUUCUGUCUCUGAAUCGGUUGUCUCCGAUCAACUUGCAUAGUUUCUCGCCGUCUAUCAUACCGUGGACGAGGCCUGUUUCUACCAGGUUGUUGUGGCCUAUCAUGGUACCUAUAUUGCGGUCUUGGGAUGACCUUUCCAUCAAUAAACAAGUCACCUGAAAUUAACACAAAUGAUUCAUAAAAGCAAAAUAAGCAUCUGACUUCAGAUAUCAAGGCGUUUCAAUGUAUAUCAAUUCAAUCGAGUUAAAGGCGCAAUCACCUCCGUAAUCUUUGUUCGGAACGUCAAGAUAUGAAUCUGGUAAAACCCAUAGAACACCUGGCAAUUCUGUUUCAUCCAGAAUGAAAAGCUUAGAUCAGAUGCCAAUUCUAUAUACAAAGGCUAAAGCAAAAGUAUCAAUCAAUAACACAAAUCAUAAAUGACAAACCUUCACAGUUGUAAAACAAAAAUGACCAAACUAAAAUCGGGUUGAUUCUGAAGAAAACUUGAAAAUAGAAAGGAAAAAUCCUAAGCAAUUCAAAUAUUAUCUAGGAAGCUUCAUAAAAAGCAUCACGUUCUUGAGCUAAAUAAGCACUCUUUCACUCUUCAAUUUUAAUCCAAAAAACUAAACACAGAUUUGAUUCAUAUCACAAGACUCGUUAAUUUUGUUGUUUACAAAAGGCUGCUUUAUACAACAAAGUACAAAGGAUCACAACAUAAUACAAAUGCCAAGCCUUCAUGGUGGUAAUACAGAUAUUAUCAAACUAAAACUCGAGUCAAUAUACAGCAAACUUCAAAAUAGAUGGGAAAAUUUCUUAGGCCUCCAUUUGGGUUUUGAAAUUAAGCUUAUAAACACUACUUCUACUUAUUGUUGUCUUUUUUGCUAUCUAAUUCUUAGUGGUGUUUUCAAAAUACGUAGUUUUGGUGACUAAUUGGAGUAGUUUCUUAAAAGACUUGCACUUCAUUUUAGACUUUGGCUGAGAAUUCAAACUCAAAUGGUAACCAUGGUAAAGAAAUGGUAGGAAGAGAAUGAUAAUCUAAGAAAUGCAGACAUGACACUUAGACACUCCCAUAUCGAACACUUGUUAGUGAGCCAAAAUGUGUUAGACAUGCAUAAAAUACAUAUGGAGCAGAGUAAAAGAACACAGAUUUAUGACAAUAAUACUAAAAACACACACACAUGUAUGCAUAAAACACUCGUUGAGCAUACAUAGAACUAAUUUCUAUCUUUUAAGCAUGUAAUGCAUUAACCUUGUUAUGGCAUGCCCUAGACUUUUAAGAAAUGACUUAUUGCCAUGUAUCCAUGUCUUGUAUCCCUAUUAGUGCUUUUCGAAACAUAAUUUUCAAAAACUAAAUGAAUGAAUUCGUUUUAUCUAAUUUUUUAGAACUUUGAUCAAACACAUUGAGUGCUUGAGCUGCUCAAAACUACACUUUCAAUCUUCAAUUGUAGUCCAAAUACUCAACACAAUUCCAAUAUCUACAACGAGAAUAAAUCAGAUUCCCAAGGCUCCUCAAUCUAAUCAUAACACGAAUAAGCCAUGAAACUAUUACCUUUCACUUUGUAAGAAAGCUCUUCCGAAAUCAAUGCACCAAACCCAGUAUACGUAGUUGUACUAACCGAGUAUAUUUUCUUCUUCGCCUCUUCCUCACUGAAAAUCAGAAAAAAAACGAAAACCCUAAAAUAACUAAAGAACAAAAGCCGUUUUAUAAUAAUUUGUUUUCAAUCCGAUACCUUCCAACAACAGCAGCUAGAGUUUUGACAUAAGUAUUAACCAUCUCUUCCUCCGAUGGUUUCGGGUCAUUAGGAAACUCCAGCACUAUCAGCCAGUGCUCGUAAUCGCAGCCAUCGAGAAGUAUCGUCUCUUUCGGAGGUCGAUUGCUCCAAUUAGGAGACGGGUCGUUGAGUGGAGAGUAGCCGGAUCCGGAAGCCUUGAAUCGAAUUGGAAGAUUGAAUGAUGCAGGGAUUAUUUGAUCCUGUCUGUUGAGGAGAGGAAAAGCAAAUCGCAGGCGAGAAGAAAUAGGAGGAGAUGGAAGUAAAAAGGAAGAAGAAGAUGAUGAAGAUGAAGAAAUGCUUCGGCUAAGAACAGUGAAUAACGUGCGCCGAGUAGCUGAGGACGCCAUUGUUGAGAGCUUGACGGUAGCUGAAUGAGACAGUAGGGUUUUUGGUCGAUGAGAUUUUAGAGAGGUUUGGGGAAAUGAAGGACGGUACAGUAUACGGCGACGUUUUAGGAAUAUAAACAAAAAAAAAUAUAGAUUUAGACCAUCAAUAGUCUAUUAACUACGUGAUUAUAUCAACUUAAAUUGUAAAUUUAGCAAUUAGAUUUAAAAUAAUUAAAGAUAUAGCAACAUUUUAAAAAAUUUGCAAACAUAGCAAAAUUUGACAAAUUCUGUCAAUGAUAUGAGUCUAUCAACGAUAGACCAUGUUGCAAAUAUUGGUCUAUCACUGAUAGAUUAUAGGAAGUGUAUCAGCGAUGUUAUAUUUGUAAUUUUUUUAAAAUUUUGCUAUAUCCUUAAUUAAAAUGAUUAUUCAUUCCAAUUUUGUAUUAUUUUUUAGUAAAAUAAUUUUUUUAAAAAAAUUAUAUAAGAGUGAGUGAGAUUAUAGGAAUUGUUUAAUUAUAUUUAUAGACACUGAACUUGUUACAUAUAUUAUAUAUUAUUAGAUGAAAAUUGCAUACGAGGACAAAAACAUUUAUAAAAAUAUAUAGUCUAUAACACCUAUUUUUAUCAUAUUAGGAAUAUGAAAAAAUUAGUGAUAUUAAAUAGUUAUAGAGUUAUCCAUUUUUAAAUUUACAAUUUAAAAAAUGCAUGACAUGAGUUUAUUAUCAUAAUUUUUUGUUGCUACUUUUUCAAGUGUCCCCUUUUCAAAUAUUCGAUUUGUCUUGCAAACUAAAUCGUCUUCAACCUCGAACCAACAUUGGUUUCUUAAAAAAUGGACUAUUUUGAUGCUUUAAUGUUCAUUUACACUUGUUAACUUUUACGACUUCUCUUUUAAACAAAACCUCGAAGAGCUCAACUUUUAUAAUUGCAAACCGUAAUUAUAGCACCAAAUUUGAAGAAUGUUACUGCAAUUUGCUUUUAAAAAUUGAAGUAAAAAAAAAACUGAUUUGCUUUAUAACUCUGUAGAGAGAGGAUUUCAUAACGAGUAGUUCAAAACAUGCAUAAUUUUUUAUAAUACUGAAGAGCCCAAGAAACAACAUAACCAAAGCUAUAGUUAAGUACUCAUACAUAUACUUUAUACAUACAUACAUACAUAUAUAUAUAGUGCAGUUAAAUAUAUACUCAACUGCAGGCUCGUAGUUACCUAAAUUUGUUUAUUUAUGUAUUACAAGCAUCCAUCCCUUUACUUUUAGAUCAGAAAAGCAAAGCUAUUUCCGUUUUGCAUACGAACGCCAAGUUGUUAUCACGAUCCCGCCGCGGGUUUUGGCCAAAUGAUCAGAAGUCACCACUGCCCCCUGUUUCUCUUUCGUCUUCGAAGGUGGUUGCUCGGCCACCUUACGCGGUGGCUGCAUCUGAGCUGGCCUCAUCUCCGUUGCCGCCACUACCCUUCUACCGCCCGUUGUCGAGGCUCGACCGAAGAAUUUGUCAAUCAGUUUGAAUCCUUCAAUCCCAAUCCGCGCCAGGUUAGCAUCAGUAUCUAUAAUUUCUCUCUCUCUCCUACCCAUAAUUCCCGAAGAUUAAGAAAAAAAAAGGAAUUUGUUUUGGAAUGGGUUGUGAAGCUUCGUUUGGUUUUUGGUGCAUUAUAUAGUAGUUUUGGUGGCCCCCAUAGCAGUAAUUUAAAAAUGGUAAUAAAAGAAUUAGGCCGAGGAAUGAACUCUUGAUGGGAAUUUGAUUGAAUUUCUUUAUAAUAACAAUGUUUCUUUUUUCUCUUUUUCAAAAGUGAUUUAGGGUUGGAAGAAAUCAAUUAAAUGUUUUAAGCUUUCAUAACCUAUUAAUUUAUCCAUUUAUUAGACUUCGUUAAAAAUUGUAUAUUAAUUUAGACAUUUCAAUUAAUUGAUAAAAUUGUAAGUUUUUUAAAGUAAAAUACAGAGAGUUUGAAAUGAUUAAAAUUAUAAUGCGAUAUUUAUAUUUAAGCAUGGUGAUUGAAAUGAAUAUUAUGUUAGGCAUUAUAAAAUUAGUCAUAUAUAUGGGGAAAGGGAUUGGGAAUAUUUAGGGGUAACUUUUAGCUGUUUUUAAAGAUUAAUUAAGUUAUUAAAAACUGAUUUUUAGAGGAAUGAUUAAUAAUUUAUUACAACAACGUAACAUAGCAUUAAACUUGUUUUAUAAUAAACACUAAAAAGGGUGUUCAAAAGGAAUUUUGCAAAUUGUUCUAAAGGAAGAUAAAGAUACUUUUAGAUUGUAAAAAAAAAUGAUUAAAGAAACAAUUAGGAUUAAGAUUAGGAAGAUAUUUGGUUUGUUAGAGAGUAAAAUAAUGGAUUUUAAUUUCGUUAAAGGGAUUAGGAAUAUUUGGGGGUGACUUUCUAGGGAUGUUAUUUGUUUUAUUUUUUUAUAAUAUAAAAUAUAGUUUUGGAGCACUUAAGAUAUAUAUAUACACAGAGGAGUAUUUUAAAAAAUAGAAGCAACAUAUUUAGAAAAUGAAAAAAGUCACAUGUCCAAAAAAAUUCUCAAAAUGCUUAAAUUUAGUUUUUUUUUUUCUUUAUUAGAUUAUUAGAUGAUCAUUUAAAUUUUGUUGUCAUGUAGAGAGAGAAUUUCAGGGCGAGAGUAGUUCAAAACAAACAUAAGAUUUUUGUCACGAUAUUUUAUAUUUGUCACACAAUUUAAACAACCACAUAACAUUUUUUUAAAAAAAUAGAUAUUGUAUAUUUGGUACACAAUUUUUAACCAAAUAAUUGUUUGAAAAAAAUUAAUUACAGAAAAAUAGAAAAUGACCAUUGAAAGAAGAAGAAAAAAGACUGCAGAGGAGAAGAAAGACGAUGAAAAGUAAAAAUAUUGUCGAAGAUCAUAAGGAAUAGAGAAUAGAUGAAAAAUAUAUAAAACAUGACAUGAAUAAAUCGAAAAGAAGAUGAAAAAAUCGGAAAGAAGAGAAAAAUCAAAAUUGAAAAAUCGUUAUAAACUAGUAAGGGCAAAUGUGAAAUUUUGAAAAAGAAAAAUUAGCAUUAAUAGGUUUUUCUUAAAUUGUUAUAUAAGAUAUAAAUAUUUGGUCGUUUUAUUCUAUUUAUGAAAAUUAACUAUAUAUAUAUAUAUACAUUUUGCUAAAUUAUAUAUGUUUUAAACAUAUAAGUCGAAAUAAACAUAACUCAAUUAUUUGAUUUAUAACCUAAGUUAAUCUUGAUUGUGGAGCUUUAUCGGCCCGAUAAACUCAAGUUGUAGACUUCCACCUAUAGACAGAAAAACCCAACUUUUAUAAAUGUAAGUUUUUGUGCCAAUGAUUGAUUAGAUUAUCAAAUAAUUAUAAAAUAGAACGGGAAAAAAUCUUGAUAAACCUUUUCUAUAAAUACAUCAUUAUAACCUAAAUCUUAGCUUUAACGUACUCUCACUUUUCAACUUAAGCAUUGGAAUAUGUAUGACAAUUACUGUAUGUGCAUUUCAAUUUAAUUAGUACUUCAUUAAUAAAUGUCACAAUUUUUCGAUUAAGACAACAAAUUUUAUUUAAAUUUAAUUUUUAAGAUUCACGAUAUUUUGUUUUUCUUUUAUUAAAUACUCAGGUGUUUAAGACUUAUUAAUUAAAUUAAAAUGAUUAUGAAAUUUGGAAUUGUAAACUUCAAUUAUAAUAGUACGAUAAAUCAUAAAAUUCAAUGUUAUAAGUUCCAUUAAUUUUUAAAACAUUUUGAUAUAUGUAUAAAAACUAAAUUGAAAUUAUUAUCAAACAGAUUCUAAAUUAAUAAUUUUUUAAGGGGUUUAUAGAAAAAGAAAAAAAGCAGUGUGGAAUUGAAGUUUCGUAGUGAGUAGAAAAAAAAGGUGAGUCUUCCAUUCAAUGUUCAAAUUGGGUCGGCAAAGGUUCGUUCUUUUUGUCUCUUUUUUCUCAAAGGAAUAAUAAUCCUUUUGGUGUUUAAAGACGUCAUAGUGGUGACGACCACACUCAUUUUGCUCUCUAUUUUCUAGAUUUUCCACCAUAUAUUUAGUUAUAUCAUUUUAUUUUUUAUUAUCUCUCACUUACUUUCAACUCAUUUCUAUAGAUCUACUGUCUGUCAUCUUUAAUGAUAUAUGUCGUUCGCUAUGUAUGUUCAUCGCGAUCUUUGUUCAGAUCCACGAUCCAACGUUCCGUCCAUAAUAUGAAUAUGUUAGAAUUGCACAAGAAGUUUUGUUUAAAGAAAAGCACCUUGACAUCCAAUCUUGCUAAACAAUUUGACGUUGUUCUUGUGAGCAUUGAUCCACCCAAUAGAGCAUCAAACACUUUUUGUAAGAAUUGUAAGCUCCCUGGUCAUAAAUUUAUUGAUUGUCCUAAAAUAAAGAUUCCUUCAUAUAUGAAAACUAAAAAAAAUACAGUUAAGAAAAGAAUAUACAGAAUAAUAUCGAUUAAAGAUACUCUAAAUGUCCAAUAAUAUAUUUGGUUAAUU